GUGCCCCACCUAAACGUAUUCAUGUCGUGCCGUGCCACAUGCCGUCCAUCUCAUUUGCCAUCUCUACAUGAAACCAAACCCCAACCCUGAGAUCGUGAAAUUAGGCAGACCGUGGCCGGACUAUUCACUAUUCAGCCAAUCCUUCAUUUGACGACAUUGUUGUUUUAUUCUCUGCUUCUGAAAGGGACUAAAACACGCGAGAUUACUGGGGUGGCUUUGGUAACGUGGAUUCGGUACCCCUGGACUUUUCUUAACGUCGGCCCCUUACGUAUGAGCUAUAUGGGCUUACAACAUCUGAUCCAUUUAGAUCUCUGUGGCUUUGGCACGUUGACCCAAUGCUGAAAUUUCUUUCAGCUCUACCGUCAUCUGAUAAUGUGGGGAAUGAAAAAAUCCAAAAAAAUAAAAAUAAAAGGACAGGGUAGCCCACGCUACCGACCUUAAAAUCCAUCAAAAUCUAAAGCUCACGAGUCCUUCAUUUGUAUAUGGUCGUGUCAACAUCGUCUUGUGAUCUUGUCGAUGAACAAAAACAACUUCAAUCCUGUAGCUCUCAUUUUCAAAUUAAACAUUUUAAUUGACAGCAGCAACCAUCUCUUUUGUAAUUUGGUAAUCAUGAAAUUUAUAAUUCAUAAAAAUAUAUUCACGUUAAAUUGAAUUAAUUUAAUUAUUGGCCUUCGGUUGUGAAAAAUUUCCUUUCCCCCAUCGCUCAUGAUGAGUCAUGGCACGAGAAUUUUGUGAGAACGAGGGACCUUAAAAUUGAUUUAUCAGGACAGCACCCUCGUGGGCUUGUAAGUCAAAUGCUGGUACAACUUCACGUGGAAUUUUGGGUUUCAUCGCAUGGGAAUGAGUAUCAACUUUAGACUUUUUUUUGCCUUCGGAGGCAAACCCUAAUAUUAAAAGAAAAUCCAAUGAAACUUUCUUUGCCGAUAACUUAGACUGCCGACCAAAUUCCACACAUUUUUUUCAGCUCCUUCUUUGGAACUUUAUUUGGCCUUGCCCUUCAUCGGGAAUUGUGGAUCCUCUUUGAUUUCAAUUCAUGAUCAAAAAAAAAAAAAAAAGGAAAAAGGAUGAUCGACGGAUUAAUGAUUUAUAAAUCGGGAUUAUUGAAUAAAAAAUUAAAAUUUUAAUUUUUAAGACACGUGCGAACAUGAUGCAAGUAUUGUAAUACCUUUAAAAUUCAUUUAUGAGUUAUGACUCAUGAGAGUUGUACGAUCAAUCUACAUUAAUAAGAUGCAGAAACAAGUUUAUGAAAAAUUUCUAAUGUAAUCAUAUCAUUUUAUGGGGUGGACUGGAGGUACAAUACGACCGGCAUGGGCCUUGGCUCUCUCUUAGUACCCUGCCGUAUACAACAAGCACAUGUACAGAACCUGGUUCAAGUCUCAUGUAAGGACUCACUUCCCUCCUUACAUAUAUAUUUAUAAUAAUGGGGUCCAACUAGCUUACAACCGUGAUUUGUUACCUAUUUUUUUUAUCUUUUUAUGAUCUAACCAUUGGAUUCAACUCAAGAAUUACAAAAGUUAUUCUAACGGCAAGGAUAUAAUUGCUUGGUUAUUAACGCUGCAGCCCUUCUUGUUUCAUAAAAUUAAAAAAAAAAACUAAAUUUCAAGAUUUUGACACAUAAAUCCAUAAAAAUAUUUUAUGAUCUUAUAUGGAUCCAGUUAAUUUAAUAAAUGAAUAUAUUUAGAUAUACAAAAAUAUGGAUGGAUUAUUUUAACUAGCUAAAAUUCUCCCCAUAUCCAUUUAUUUAAAAUAUCAAUUACAAAAAAUCUCAUUUUUUAAUAUAAUUUUUUUAAAAUAAAAUACCCAUUUAAUGUUUUACCAUUUAAGAUAGUGUUACUUAUAAGGAUAAAUAAUUAUUUUAAUUAAAUAAAUGAAACUUAACUUUUAUUUAUUUCUAUAAAUUUGCUCAACAUCAAAUGACCUUAUAAUUGUUAGCAUAAGAUAUAAAUUUAGUCUAAAAAAUUUAUUCAAAGGGUCCCCUUAGGGUAAAAAAUUAAUUAUCAUAUGAUAAUUUGGUUGGCACAAACUUUAUUAUUCUUAAUUUACUUAUUCGUGCCAAACACUAUAUUGGAAUUAAAUUUUCGUAAAAUAAACAUGUCACCAUAUUUAACCGCAUUCAACAUGCCCUAAUUGUUGAGAUUUUAUUAUAGAGAGCAAGAUAUAGUUCUUUUCUUAUUAUAGUAGUAAAAAUAAAUAAAAAUAAACACAAUAGAUUUCUUUUAAGAGAAUGCAAGCAUUAUUUUUAUGAGAUUUUGUGUUCAAGAAAUUAAUCUAAUUAUGUGGUUAGAAGACUCUCUAUUUUUUUAUAUUUUAGAAGAAUUAUAUGUUGGAUAAAUGAAUAAAUUAAGAUCAAAGCAAAACAAAAUGAUUGAGAAGAAAACCGAAAGAGAAUAAUUUUUUAGAAUUUUAAAAUUUUCAUAUUUUAAUUGGGGUUUAUUUUGUAAAAUUAUUGAAAUUUAUAGUUUUUAAUAUUACAGAAAACAGUAGAGAUUGUUGAAGAAAAUGCCAAAUAAAUUUUUUAAAAUUCUCAAAUUAUUAUAUUUUUAUUAGGGCUUAUUGUGUAAAAUUUUUAAAAUUUAAAAUUUUUAUUAUUUAACAAAAACAAUGGGGACUGUUAAAGAAAAUGUCAAAAUUGGGUGUUUAGUAAAACGGAGGCAAGGUAGUUCCGUCCAUAAUAAUGCUAUAACUAUAACCAUUUAAAUAUUGAUAGAGCUGUGAUUACAACGUAAAUACACUUUAAUAUUAUUAUUUAAAGAAAAAUAAAAACCCAAUAGGGUACUACAUUUUUUUACUUUUUCUGUCGGAGAGGAUUGUAAAUUAUAAUCUCAAGUUGAGAAGGUGACUCUACGAUAGAGAUGACAAUGUGCCGUGUCGGGUGAAUCAUUUUCAUCCAUAGGUUGUCCCAUGCUUAGGCACAACAUGCACUAUACCUAUGAAUGGCAUGACAAAUUGAUAGGACACGAGUACGAGCCCAUUAAGGACACAAAGACUCACUCUAAAUUUUUUGAAAUAUUUUUUUAUUAAUCUUUUAUUUUAUUUUGUUAUAAAAGUAAAAUAAAAUAUUUAAAAAUUUAAAGUUCAAGCUUUAAAAAUUAAAUUUAAAAUUUUACUUUACGUCAUGAAUUUUUUAUUUUGCAUUGAUAAAUCUAUUAACCAAGUUAAUUAAAAAUUAACUGAAUGAUUUGAAUCGAUAUUAGUAAUAUUUUAGCUUUGAGUCUUAAUGUUCUUGUGUAAGUGUGUGUUUAGUUAAUAAAAAUUUUAAAAAAAAAUCUUAUAACUCAUAAGUUAUUAUUAUUUAUCAUUUAUCAUUGAUCGAAUAUCAAUAUUUAUUAUUGUUGCUAAACUUAAUUGAUAACUUAAUAUGGUUUAAGAGAAUCAUGACACAGCAAAGCAAAAUUUAAAAAUAAAUUUUAAUUAAAAUGGAGACCCAUGGGCGGGCAUAGCCUGCAAUCCAAGCGUGCUAUGCUGCGGAGCCUGAAAUUUAACUUUCGUGCUUGGUAAGGUCGAAUCGUUUCUUAAUAUCCGGCCUUUUGGCAAUCUCUGCUGUGUACUAGAUAGAAGACAUCCAGCUAAAAGAUUGGCCACGUCUAUUUGCAGAUCUUGCAGUACCGUGUAAAUGUGUUGUUGCUUAUUGAUCUGGGCCGUCCAAUGGUCACGAUCAAUCUGAUCAAAUGAUUUUCUGAUGAACACAGCUUAUCCCAGUCCCAAUGUCACGGGGUCUAUCAUCCCGACUCCUGAUGGACUAUUUCAAGGGAGUCAACUCUUCUGAUCAUAUAUCUACGCAGAGGACUCGACUAGCUUACAGAAUCUGUAAGGUACAGACUGCAGCAUCAGCCGUUGGAUGUGGUUGGAUGUGGAGUGAGAAACUAAACAAUAGAAAAUCGGAUGGUGGGAUGACGGGAGAUGUUUGUUACAGAAUCUGUACCAUAGACAGGUCCCUACGCAGAUGUGCCAUGUGGACAGGCCCCCACUGGAUUGUUUUCAGCUAAUUUGAAGCGUUGGAUAGCGUUCGGCACGACAUUAAAAAAAAAAAAACGCGAUCAUCGGUUCGCAGUCAAAGUUAGGUGUUGACUCAAAUCUAUUAAUGUGCAACAAGUCAACUCAUCCCAUGGAUUUGAAUUGUUCUUGAAAUCUUUUUGAAUGUGAUAGGAAAACGAAAGAAACUAUGUCAAAGAGAUUUUCUUUUUUCCUCCUCCUGAAAGCGUUGCUUUUUUUUUUUAUUAUUAUUUUUUCCCGAUUGUCAGAAGGUGCAUAUAUUAUAUGGACCUUAUGAUGUCAAUUAAAAUAUUAUUAACUACGGCUUAAUGUGUCACUUUGUCAAUGUGACAAGUUUUUUAAUUCGUUCCAAAACUUCAUAAUACCCGUGAUGGAUAUGUAGUCAGUAGUCACUUGAUUAUUGCUAUUUACAAUUAAUUUAGGAGAAAUAUAUAUAUAUUUUUUUUUGUCUUAUCCACGAGGUAUCCUGGAGAGGGCCCCAACUGUGAGAGGCACCUUUAAGCCUGUACCACAACCCAGACUAGAAGUCCCCGCUCGAACCGAGAGGCACAGGUUCUCCCAACAAAGACGACUUCCCUGCGACUCGAACUGGGGAGCAAACUCAGUCAAGCCACUUAAGGGGACUCCAUUGCCAGUGGAGCCAACACUUUGUUGGUAAUUUAGGAGAAAUAUUAACUCACAAUUAUGGACGACAAUUUACCACGUUAAAAAAAAAUGACAAUUUACUAUAAAUAGAAUAAUUGAAAAAUUCAACAGCAUCUAAAAACGAAAAGUUACAUAAAUAAGAUGAUUGUCUUAAUCAUUGCAAUUUGUAAUUAAUUUGGGCUAACCCUUAUGGCAGGAUUUUGCAAUUACAAAUUUUCCGCAAUCAUUCUACGCAAAAUUUUCUCAAUCACUUCAUAAUCUGUCUGCUUUAUCCCAAAAAAAAAAGAAAGAAAAGAAAAUAAAGACUUAAGAAAAUAUAUGAAAGUCAAGACCUAAUCUAACUUUACUUCAUGGUAAAUGUUAACUAGUUGUGCAAGAAAGAAAUGCUUGAGUUCUCAUUCUUCAACCUCGCAGGCCUGCUCACACGAUUCGGGCCCGCUCACAUGAUUCGGAUUGUCUAAGGAAAUAUUUUGAAAAAGAAAGGAUUAAAAUAAUCUUAAAUGUCAUAAAAUCAUGGUACAAUACUGAAAUUAACAAUCUAGUUUGCUAAUUAAUAUAUGUUAAAGCUGAAAAUAAAUUAAUAUUCAAAUACUAAAAAUAAAAACAAUUAGAAAAAAGGGGAAAAAAAAUUAAAGAGAGAAGAAAACGCGACUAGCAGUACAUAUUAAUUAGGCAUAAAAAUGCAAAAUAAUAGAAACUAUCAUAGGACUGGAAAGUACUGAAAUCAAAAACAGCCAUCUUUUGUUGGGUAGCUGUUGUCUUCAGCACCCCCAUUUUGAACUCUUCUCGUUCCUCAUUUCUUAACUCCCCAAACCCCAACAACAACAACUCUAUCCCGGCAUUCACACUACUCUCCUAUAAAACUCCAAAAAUCCCCACUUCAUUUUCUCUCACUUUCUCAAUCGAGAUCAAAAAUGGAGUUGAGUUCAUCAAAAACGACGACGGACUUGCAGGUUUCAAGGAAAUGGAAAGGGAGAGAUCGUCAGCAGCAGAGGAUAAGUCCUGAGAGGACCAAAGUGUGGACUGAACCUAACAAGAACAACAAGACGAGUGCUGCUGCGGCCAACAGAAAAGUCCCUGUUAUUUACUAUUUGUCGAGAAAUGGCCAACUUGAGCACCCGCAUUUCAUGGACGUCCCUCUUUCUUCACCUGAAGGUCUCUUUCUCAAAGGUAAUAUAUAUAUAUAUAUAUCAAUCUUGCACUUUCUUAAUUUACUAUCUGUUUUUCUGUUUGGUCGCCGAGAAAAAAUGAAAUUUUUUUGUUUGUUUGAAUUUGGAAUGUACAGUUUUUUUUCUUUUUCUCACCGCCUUGUUUAGUUUUGGCUUGGCUUCCUAGAAUCACAUGCAUGAUACAUGCCAAGUUGCCAACUGGUUGAUUUGGGCUUGAGCUUAGGUGAAACUGAAAAGUGUAAAAGAUCCUUUGUUUGUCUGUCUUGUAAAAGUUAUGGAAAAAAUAAUAAUAAUAAAGUUUUGAAAUUCAAAUUCCAUCAACUUUACGCGAUUUUUAGCAUCCCGCCAAACUCCUUGUUUCCCUCUCUGUUAGCCUGCCGCGAAAAACUCGGAGAAAGUAAAAGAAAGAUUGAACUUUGUAUGAAAAUUUUAUAUUUUCUUAAUAUUUUCUUUUUCUUCAGAUGUAAUCAACCGUUUAAAUCUUCUUCGAGGCCAAGGCAUGGCGAGCAUGUACUCUUGGUCAUCAAAACGGUAAAUAUUCACUGACUCCAACGCCGUCUGAUGUAAUUACCAUACUUACGUUCACCGUCUUGAUUCAGGAGCUACAAAAACGGCUUCGUUUGGUACGACUUAUCGGAAGACGACCUUAUUUACCCUGCUCACGGUCAGGAGUACGUUCUGAAAGGAUCUGAAAUAGUUGAUCCUUCACCAUUGAGCGGCGCAAAAGCUCAUGAAAUGGCAGCUUCGUCGUCGUUUCGAGUGCUCAAAUCCGGAGACGAGUCCGCUGAUUUCCCUGUUAUCACUCGUAGGAGAAACCAGUCCUGGAGUUCUAUUGAUUUAAACGAGUACAAAGUUUAUAAAGCUCAGCCGAACUCCGAGUCGUUCCGGCGGCUCGCUGCUGACGCGUCGACUCAGACGGAUGAUAAGAGAAGGCGAAGGCGGCCGGUCAAAGUUGAUGAGGAAGAAGAGCAAGAACAAAACAGUCAAAGUCAAAGUCAAGAAAUGUAUGCGAACCAAACUACCGAGCUGAGCCGGGAGGAGAUUUCACCUCCACCGUCCGAUUCGAGUCCCGAAACUUUAGAAUCUUUGAUGAAAGCCGAUGGACGGCUGAUACUGUGUGAUACCAGCAGUAACAAUAAGAACAAUAACGACGAUUCUUUAUCGAAUCGGACGGCGGAUAACAAUCCGAGUGGGAGAAUGAAGGCGUCGACGGUUCUGAUGCAGUUGAUAUCAUGCGGAUCGAUCUCGUUUAAGGACUGUGGGGCCGGGAAUGUGAAAGAUCAGGGGUUCUCAGUGAUCGGGCAUUACAAGGCGAGGCUGCCACGUGGUCAAGGGGACAAGAAAGAGGCGGUGGCAGAUGGGGAAAUCCGAAACUUGCCGAGGGUAAGAUUGGAAGAUAAGGAGUAUUUUAGCGGCAGCUUGAUCGAGACUAAUAGGAAAGAGGAGGUUCCGUCCACUUUGAAACGAUCCAAUUCUUACAAUGCAGAUCGGUGAGUGGCAUUUUCUUUGCAUUUUUGUUUUUUAGCUACUUGUCUAUUUUUUCAAUUUUUUUUUCCUUUUGUUUUGUCAAUUUACGGUCUGUGUUUCAGAUUUCAGAAUGACAGUGAUUCUGUUUUUGUAGUGGAGACGGUACGGUUUGGCCUUCUACAGUUUAUUACAAUAAUUAAAUGGACCCCGUUUCCUCAUUAUUAUUAUUUGGCAGCAAUCAUAGAGAGCUACAGCCUACUAGUUGAAUUUACCAUGCAUAAAUUGCCCAUCAUUGAUAAAGUUUUAGCUUGUCAGUACAUCAAAAGUAAAAGAUACAAGGUUUGCUAAUUGAUGAGUUGGUUUAAUGAUUUUUUUAAUUAAUAUUUUACAUUAUUAUUAUUUUUUACUCUUUGGCAGUACAAUUGAUUAUAUUUCACUUAUUGAAAUGAAAUAUGUAGUCUAAAAUUAGUAUUAAUUAUCAAAUUUUCUAGGACAAAGUAAAGCUUUCAUUCCAGUUAUGUAAUAGCCACAAUCCACGUAGUGUACUGGUACCAAACGUAGCCUUAUAUUGAUUCAUACUUGAAAAGCUAAGGGAGUGUAGUGAGCUGUGAAGAUGGAUGAUUUGAAGUUUCACUGCCAACAUAUUCUCUCUUUUCAUAGAAAGUGGUGUCAUUUUAUAUUCCUUGCUUGAACCAUCUCUCCAAGGAUUCGAAGUCAGAAAACUUUAUGAUUCUCUCUUUAGCCCAUUUGGCCUUAUUUGAAUUUUUGCUAAGUUUGACAAGAAAGCCAGCUAGGCCGAGGCAGCUACAUUUUAACUUUCUUCUUCUUGGAAAAUAGUCUAUGUCUCGGUCAUUUCUCUUUCACAUUUAUGACUGAACGUUAUCAUAUUAAUUGCUGGCCGUCGAUUUAUUUAUGAUGCAUAUCUAGAUCUUCCCAAGUUGUCGUUGUCCCAUGUGUGGUCCAAAAAUUGAAAUAAAUGACUACUGAGAUCUCAAUCCAAUAAAUCUACUGAAUGCCGCUGCAUCUUUAAGAAGUGUAGCAGUACUAUAAUAAUGCAGCACAUAGGGGGACCAAAAAUGUGCAUGAGUUGACUUCUUGUGUUAAAUAUUGAACUGAUGAAUAUGAAUUUUAACUGGAUUUUAUUGAUUAAGCAGAAGCUCGCAGUCACAGUUGGCAGAGAAAGAGAAUGAUGGAGUACGAGCAAAAUGCAUUCCAAGAAAGCCAAAGGCUCUGCCAGUGCCAAGUAACAAAGAAAGCAGUAGCAGUGAUGGUCAACAAUAUGUGAACAAAAGCCUCGAAGUCUCACAAUGAGCCAAGCCCCGCAAUGUGUUAAAAUGUAAAUGAAAUCGAGGAACAUAGGCGAAAUAUAAGGGCAGUGACUAGUGAAUUGCAAGAAACGGCACGGUCGGCGUGGGGCUCUUUCUUUCUCUGUCACUUUCUGUAUGGAGUUUUUGGGGAUGGAGUCAACGCAGCUGAUGCCUUGGUGUUGGUGGGGGGUUGAAUUUGCUUUAAUUUUGAUUGUUUAUGAAUUAUGAUGCUAACCCCAAUCACCUUUUCUUCUGUUUCUUAAAUUUUAAACACUCUUUUUGACUAAAUGAUGACUUUGGAGUAAGGAAAAUAGAAUAUAUUAGUCUUGGUAUUAACAUUUGCUUUUGAGCUUCAUCGUCUUCGAGUAUGCACAUGAGUUAUGUUUAACUGCGAAUUAUUGCAUUUUGACCUCAUGGAUUUUAAAGCUUUGAGAUGUUCGAGACUCUCAUUACAAGAAAGUUGCAGUUUUUGAUCUAUCUUAGCAUGUAUCUACUUAAAAAAUCCACACCGUCCUAGUAAUUCAGACUCUUACUUAUCGAUUUCCCCCGUGCAAAAUUCAAUGCAGGAUAAUUAUGCCGGUGAGAGCUCAAGAAAAUAGUACUUAAUAUUGUUGCAUUUAUUAAAUUACAACGACGUUUCGCCGAAUGUGAAACAACAGUUUGUCGCCUGAGGUAGAAGAAUGAAUUAUGAAAACCUCCGUUUAAAUCAUAUACCAUAGGGUCAAAAUAAAUCAUUUACGUAAGUAUUAUAUUUAAUUGACUACAUGUCAAUUUUCGCUCGUGGGCACUGAAUUUAGAGUGCGUUUGGAAUUAAAGUGCUAUAACUUUUAAGCUACAGUUGCUGUGGAAAACAAACUGUGACUAUGAAACUAAAAUUAAUAAUAUGUAAUAAAUUAAAUUUUAAAUAAUAAUUUUGACAAAAUUAUUAAAAAUAUAAUAUAUUUUCUAUUAUACAAGUGAAAAAUUAUAUUAAUAUAGCUUACAAGUUAUAACAGCUAUUGUUUACCAAACACUUUAAUACUGUAGUUUAAAAGUUACAGUUACAACUGCCCAACCUCAAUUCCAAACACACUAUUAAUCAUUCUACAAGCACAAAGAGAACUUAUGUUGAAGGACAAUAACGUAUUCUCAUUGUGUUUAGGAAAAUGAUAUUUAAAUCUGGUCAAAUCCUCACCUAAUUAAAAUACAUCGUUUAAGUUAAACUAAUAUAAAAAUAAUAAUUCAGUUUCAAAUAGGCUUCAAAAAACCCCGAGUUUGAGCCGAGUUUGGACCUACUCAAGACCAGCUCGAAUUGGUAAAACAGCUCCAUGGACUUGGGUUCAAGCACGAACUUUUCACAUGUGGGCCGGGUUAAGCUCAACAUCUUGGGGCACGGGUUUUUAAGUCAGGCUUUCCUUGCUCGCAUGUUCAAACUAAAUUUAAAAAAAAAAAUUGUAAUGCUGCAAAUUUUACAUAAAUAAUAAAUAAAAAAAAUUUCAAUCUACUUUCUACUAACUAAAUUCAUUUAAUCUCUAACCUGAAAAUUCAUUCAAUCUUUAUCAAAAAUUUAAAUUCAACAACAUGAUAAUCAUUAAAUAAAUCUAAAUAACUAUAACUUCCAACAUAUCAUAGUUCAUAAUCAUGACACUAAUUAUCAAUAUAAUAUAUAAAAAUCCUAAAAUAUCCAAUAUCUAACCAAAAAAAUUCAUAGAAGAGUCUCAAAAUAAUUUUAUCAUUUUUUUUAAAGCUAGAAAAAAGUCAAUACCUCGUGGAGGCACGACAUGGUGGUUGUUGGCUUGGAGUGUUGGAGGUGUGAUAGCGGCCACAUGGGUGUGGUGUGCUUGUUUCAGUGUGUAUUAGGGAUUUAGGGUUUGUAAUUAUGUACUUAUAUAUAUAUUUUUAACUUAUUAAAAAAAAGGGCACCAAUCUGAGUUCCAGGUUUUUGAUGUCAUGCCUAAACCUAUGCCCGAACAUAUUCGGGUAUUCAUUUUCAAUACCCGGAACCAAUUAGUGCAUCGACAAGAACUUUACGCAGACCGCAUUGGUCGAGUCUAGUUUUUUUUUUUUUUUUUGAUUACAUGAGACUAUUGCUCAGAUUACAACUCAUAUUACAUGAGAAUAUAACUGAUAUGUACAAAUCAGACUAUAACUGGGACCAACAUACAUCAAAUCUAAUGGAGCGCUGCCCAGAUUUUAACCCUCUCAAAUAUUCGAGGGAUGUCUACUCCUCGCACUGGGACAAGGAAGCAGACUGCCUUCACUCAAUUUUAUUUGAGGAAGGAAACACCCCCACAUGCAUUGUGGGGGUUUGAACUGCUGCUCUCCAAGUUGGAGAGCAGCAGCUCUCACCACUCGGCCAAAGGCCGAGUGGCUGGUCGAGUCUAGUUCGGAUUCGGUCAGGGCGGCAUUAUUGCACCCUUUAAUUUUAGAUAACACAGAGCAAAAAGCACUUCCCAAAAUCAACCACAUCACAACCACCACCAUCAUAACUACUCACAAAGCAACACUUCAAAAUCAACCAAAGCAGACUGUAAACAUGUUGUUUCACCUAUUGCCACCACAUUGUUGUUACUAAAGAUUAAACACACGGAGAAGAGUAAGUUAGAGAAUUUCGAUGGCAUGUUUGAGCUAAGAGUAUUUUGCCAGAGAUCACAAGCUAGCUGAGCAAACAUCUUUAAUAUGAAUAACAACCCUUUUUUUUUUUUUUUGGGAGAGAUCACAUUUGCUAAGGUAAUGGUGGCCAAGGUAAUUAUGGAAGAUACCUUAUAAUGCCUCUAAAAUUAUUUUAAUAACCUAAAAAUAAAAUUUUACCAAAAAUUUCAUGAAUGUUCUCUAAAUACGCACAUGAAGUUACUAAAAUAUACUUAACUCAAAAUGGAUAUGGAUUACACUACUCUUGUACAUGACUAAUUUGAUUUUGGAGUUUGGAGAAGAGUUGGAAUCAUCACUGACACUGAAACGCCAAAAUCUGAAGUGCAAGUCAUCAGAGCACUUCAUUACUGCCACAUCUGACAACUUCUUAAGGUAAGUAAUUAAUUUCCUUCUUGUAAUCAAUUGAUAGGGUUUUGAUACUUAGGGAAAAAGCAAAAAAUUUAGGGUUUUAUAUUGAAGAAAUAGAUGAAAUUGGUUGUGGGUUCUCAUAAUAUAUAUUUAAAAACAAACUUUGUAAUUGUUUUUUUUCAUGAAAAUGGUGAAUUUUUUAUGGGUUGUGUAGAUUAUUAGUUGAUCAUGACACAACUUAAGGUCUAAUCAUACACGACUUAAGGUGAUGUUACAUUACUACAUGUAACACAUGACUCUUAGAUGUGUAUUACAUGACUUCUUAUAAUACAUGAUUGCAUGCGACGUAAGACCUCAAAAUUACAAGAAUUUUGUCGUAAUUGUUAAUUCAAAAGAAUAACUUAUCUCUUUAAAGACUUAAUUUGUGCUAAGAGUUAAUAUCUUUUUGCUAUGCAAAAAAUGUCAACAAAAUUUAAAAAAAAAAAAACAGUAAGCCGAAAUUAAAAAUUACUAAUUUGUUGUCAUUAUACCAAUAAAAAAAAAACAACUUAAUGAUGAACAAGUUGAGAUUUUUCGUAACUCGAGUUUUUGGCACUUUUUAAACUUAAUUGAGAUUCGGUUUUGUAUUCAUUCAUUGCAUAAAUUGAUAUUGAGGCAUUCGCAUUCAUCCAACAAAGCAAUGUAUUUUAAUAUAGUGAAGAAAGUAUGCAAACUUUUUUAUGUUUGAAUUCGCAUUAGUUACUGGAUUGAAUUUAGGAGAAAUUUAUAAACUUGACUUGGACAUUGUUGAUGACAAUAGUCGGGUAUGUGAUGUUUUGUUGGGCGAUUGCACAAAGUUUAUAGAUACAACUCUAGGUUAGCCAUUCGAAUCAGCUAAGUCAAGGGAUGGUAUGAAAAUGGUUAAAUUUGUCAUAUUAUAUUUCUUGGAGGUUGUAUUACUUGGAAAUGAGUGGAGAUCAUCUAUCAUUGUGGAUCACAUUCUCCAUGUUGACAACUUUUAAUAUUUCAAUAAAUAUCCUUGGGAUUGUGUUUGCUUGGAGGUCACACUGGAAAGUAUGAAGAAUGUAAUUACACUUAGAAAUAAUAAAGUAUGAAGAAUACGAUUAUAAUGAGUUGUGGUUUUAAGACUAAACUGUUGUAAGCCUACUUCAAAUCUUGAAUUUUUUUUGUUAAUUGGACUAAUAUCUUAAUUAUAGUAAAUAUUUCAAAUAUUUGCUGCUACUGUUACUAUUUCACAGGCAUUUUUGCCUAAUACAAUUUUUUUAUAUGAAAAAUUAAUGUAGAAUUGUUUAAAUGACACCUCAAAUUUUACUUGUAAUGCAUUAACAUGUUUAAUUAUAUUCGUAAUGCAUUGUGAAUCACAUUCUCCAUAUUGACAACUUUGAUUAUUUCAAUAAACAUAUUUAGGAUCGUGUCUGUUUUGAGGACACACUAGAAAGGAUGAAGAAUGUGAUUACAAUUACAGAUAAUAAAGUAUGAAUAAUGCGAUUGUAAUAAGCUGUACUUUUAAGCCUAAACUUUCGUGAGCCUAAUUCAAAUCUUGAAAAAUAUUUUUUAAUGGGAGUAGUAUUUUAAUUUUAUUAACUAUUUCAAAAUUUUGCAGCUAUUGUUACUAUUUCACUAGCAGUUUUGAUUGAUACAAUUUUAUCAUAUGACAAGCUAAUGUAGAGUUGUCUAAAUCACACCUCAAAUUUUAUUUGUAAUGCACUAACAUGUUUAAUUAUAUUCUGAAAACUUGCACAACAUUCUAAAUAUUGUUGAAUUUUAAAGAAAAUCUAAAAAUCAAAUUGUCAAUGCUCCUUGCUAAGAAAAUAGAUUUCUUCAUCCAUUUACAAAUAAGAAAUUCAUUUUUCAAGCACAAAAUGUCUCAGCAUCACAAGUUUCAUACACCAAUUUUAAAAUACAAAACAAUCUACUAAGAAUAAAAUUGUGUAAAUGUAAUUAUUUAUAUUGCAUAUAUUACAAUUAUUUAUUUUAAAGUUGGCUGGCUCUAGUGGCAAGCUUGUAUAAGAACUGCUGAACUCACCUCAUGUUCAAAAGUAACACAAAGUGGAUUUCUAAACUCCAUUCUACUAGCUAUUUCCUCUAGGAAAAAUUACAAAUUAUCAUUGAUUUUAAUUGCAGCUGAUGGCAUAGCAUCAGACAUCUUAAUCUUGAACUUUAUUGAUUUCAAAUUAUGAAGUAUCCAUAUAAAUAACUGAAGAUACCUUCUCCACCAAUUCUGCUUAGGGGUGGGCGUCGGAUCGAAUUCGGGUUGAUCCGAUCACAUUCGGAUUGAAUCGCAUUUACUUCGUUUUUAAAUUCAAUGCAGUGAUACGAUGAGUUUUGGUCGUGAGUAGGAAAAUGGGUUUUAAUUGUGUGGCUUCUCUUACUCUAGAAUCGUGGUUAAGGAUAAUGAGAUUUUGUUUUUUUGUUUUUUAAAUUUUCAAUAAUGGGCUAAACUGUUAACUGUGUCGUAUUCGUGGGUUUAUUUUCAAAAUCAAAACUGUGUCGUUUUGGACUUGAUCGGGUUUUGAAUUUUGAUUCGGUGGGGGAGUACUAACACUCUUCGGUUUGUUUAUAUUUAAAAAUUAGAUAAUUGUCGGCCUGUAGCAGAACCUAGUACUUGGGCCUGAAGAAUUAUUGUGGCUUUUAUAACUACGAUCCAUUUCAGACUCUGUGUUCCCAUACCCCCAAGAGAAGUAAGAUUGUUUAGCUCUUGGAUUUAAUCUGUCAUCUUUAUUUGGUCUGCACUAAGUAUAAUUCGGGGGACUUGCAGUUUCAGCAGCCCAAACAUUUUGGGCUUAAGGCCUUAUUAAAGAUUCCGUGAAUAUAUAUCUGCAUUGGGCAUGGUAGUUUUGCCUGCAGCAUAGUCAAAGGUUACAGGGUUCAAAAUUAGGGUUAAUUUCGGAAUACCAUUCAUAAAACAACAGUCUUUAAAAUAUCUCUCAUAUUAUUAUAAAUUUUAACUUACCUCUCAUUUCCAUUAAGAAGGUAAAACAAUUUCAUCAACACGCGCAUUUUUUUCUUAAUUUUGAACAAAAAUGAGGAUAAUUUGAGGUUUACAAUAGUAUCAAAUCUUUUUUUAAAACAGAUUGUCAUUUCACGAGGAGUAAUUCGAAAAACGCCCUUAAAAUUAACUGAAACUUCUUGAAUGUUUCUACCCCAGCCUUUAUUGUAAAGAGUUACUAGUCAAAAUGUUGGGUAAAUAUUUGUCGUUUGUCUUUGACAACACAAUUGAUUUUUUUUAUAUUAUAACUAUUUACUAAAAAAUAUUCUCUAAAAAUGAUAAUAAAUAACAUUUUAAUAAAAAUUAGUGGUGUUUCUGGGCCACUCAAAUUUCAUCUGAUGGUUAAAGUUUCUAUUUUACAGUACCACAAUGCAAAACGAAGCACUAUUUCUCAGGGAAAAAGAAGGAAAAAAACUUUGCUUUAAAGAGAAAUAAAUAAGUUAAAAAAUCAAGAUUUUUUUUUUUAGAUAGAUCUACUCAACUUUUCUAUUUUAAUUAUUCAAUUACUAAUUUAUCAUAAAUUAUUAAAUUUAGACAACAUCACCAUUCACCAGCAACAGGAUUUCCCUUAAAACCAAUGUGGGUGUGUUCAAUCCGUCAUGCAAACCUCCCGUUAAUCAACACCUAACUCGACUCUCUUGACACGUUAUCCUUCUUAUUUCUAAUGAAAAUGGACGCCAUAAAACUAUAAUGAUUAAUUCAUUUAACGCAAGAGCAUUACAACUUUUAGAUCAGUAAGUUUGAAUUUAGAUUUCAUCUCGUUACUUCUCCUUCUGCAAAUCAAAUUACUUUUAAGUGAUGUAAUUAAUACUGUCAACAAAAACAUGUGCUGCAUGAUUUGAUCAGAGAAUUCAUAACAUUUAAGUUUAUUCUGACAAAUAACUAAUCUUAUCCCAUUUUACCAUUUAAAGAAUUAUCAAAAAAGUAAAAGUGUAGCGUACUAAUUUCUCCCCAUAAAAGCAUUUAUAUUUAUUUUUAAAAGCAAAACCCUCCUGGUUAUUGGCUCUUGGCCAUUUGCUAUUGCAAUAAAAAUUGCAAACAGUUGAAUCCCCAUGUCUCUCACUUCUCUGGCCACAUUAUCGUCCAACAAACAAAAAACCAACAUGUGUUGCUUUGUUUUUCAUCGGUUACCCAUUUAUACUCUAUAGCUUUGGCUUCUUCAAUAUUUAGUUCUUUUAUUGCAUGCUUAUAAAACACACCCACAUAAUGAAAACUCUACAGACAUUAACACAAUGAAGUGUUAACUAACCUUGUCUGCUAAAUCAUACAGCUGUCUUGCAUGUCAUAAGUCAUAACCUGGUAAAAAUUUUCAUCAUUGUCUCGUGACAUUUGAUUAAUGGCUAUUGAUUUUUAUGUGAAUAAUUAUAUAGCAUGGAGUGUAUGAUUGUUGUUGUUAGAAGCUAAGUGGGUUUCUUGGUAUCGAGUUUUGAGUCAAUUGGGUUUUGUUUAGCUGAUGUGAUGGCUCCUAUAAGAGGGUCAAAGAAAAGGAGAAAGAUUGAGAAGAAGGCUGAAGGAAAUGCUUCUGCUUCUGGGUCUUCAGAACAGGAAGCAUCUUUUGUUUGGUGGCUUGAAUACUCCAAGAGGAUUAAUGGUAUCUACUCUUUCACAAUUUUACUGCUUUUACUCUGUCGGCUUUCACGCUGUUUUUGCAGAUUAGAUUCUUUAUUCUUUUUUAUAUGUUUUUGGUAUGUUGAUACUGUUCUUCUUGACCAUUUAUGAUAUCAUUCACAUUUAUUGUUUUUUCUUCUCUUCGGCUUAUAAUAUUGUUCAAGUUUAUUUCUUGAUAUACUGCAAAUGCAUUUGAAAGCGUAUAGGGAGGAUCCCCAAUCCGAAAUUUGAGUCGUUCUGUUCACCUAAAAUUCUCCUUUGUUGUCUAAUCGAAUGUUGAAGAGGAUAUGACGAAAGGUUUCAUUUUUUUUUCCAUCAUAUAAAUAUAUGUUUAUAAUUGCUACGUAGCAAAAUCUUAGAGAAAAACUGUAUCUUGCCAAUUCAAGUAGCAUGUGACUCACCAAUACCUAAUGAUUUGAAAGAAAUUCGAUCCCUGGAAGGUGUCUGUUCGUGUUGCUGUAGAGAACUUAAUAAUUUCAAUUAUCUUACAUUGAGGAAAAUGAGAAUGGAAUACUUCUUUCAGAAGAAAAUGAAAGAAAUUAGGAAGUAAAUAAUACUAAUCUUAUUUUCUCUUCAAGAAAUGUAAAUUUCAUUGUCGACUGCUGCAGAACACAUUUGAAACCCAGAUUAAGAUAAGUUCGAACAGUUACUUUUGUAACCUGCCCAAGAGAGUAUGAAAUUUUUAGUUUCUUCUUCUUCUUAAAGGAGUAUCGCUAAGAAAAUAUCUAUUGGUUUAUAUCAGAAAUCAGAUUAUCAUGCAUCUCACCUCUGAGUUGCAUAACUGAUCCAACUUUUGAAAGAUUGUAGAAGCUGGAAAGUGAAAUAGAGCUGCUGCUAUUUUAGAUUAGAAACUGACUGUAUGGAAGGCUUCUUAUGGAGUUGGACAUAGUUGAAGUGGUGGGGGGGGUGGGGGUUGGGGGGUGUGGGGGCUUCACAUUUCUUCCGCAUAUUCUCAAAUUAGCUGUAUCAGCCCUGUUUCUCAAGGUUUCAAUGUUUAUCUAGAGGGCUCUAUAUCAUUUGUUGAGAAACUCAAACCAAUUUGUUUGGUGCUGUGUGGAGAGUUUAUUUCUUAAUUUUCAAAGGAUAGUUUCUUAUAUUAGGUCUUUAUCUAUCUAAACACAUUUUUUAUGCGAGCAUUUGCAGGAAUUCAAAAUGUUAAAUUUGCUUGUAAUGUAAAUUAAUUUUUGUCUUCCACUUUGAUAUGGCGAGGAAUUUAUCUAAAAGGAUUGGGCGAAUAUUGAUCAUUCAUUGAGAUAAGUAGUAUUUGGCAAUUUUAUCGUGUAGGAUCAUUGGUAUGUUUGAUAGAAUGAUAAAAAGAAGUUUAUCUGCUUAUAGCUUUCUGGUUAAAUGCAGUUGCACGUAUAAUGUGGCAAAUGCACCUGUCAAAAUGAGAAAUCUGCAUCGUAAACUAUUGUGAAUUUUGACCGUCGCUGCCAGAUACAUGUCCGAGACCCUCCUUGCCGCAAAUAAAUAAUUUUGUCAUUUGCUUACUGAUUGCACAUUGAUGAAAGCUUGAUAAACCUUCAAAUAUAGUAUUGUGUACCACUACUAACGCUCUGUUUCAACACUCACGUCCUCACUGCCAUGUGUUUCACUUUUGAAAAUUUGGAUGUCUUUAUAUCCUUUUGUUUCUCGUGGAGACAAAUCAUUUCUGCACUUAUUAUGAGAAUAGCAGUUGUAAUGCUCAACGACUUGCAAUAAUCCUUCAGAUUAUGAUGUGCUUGCCAUGGCAUGUAACUUUGAUAAACACACACAAACAAUAAAACUUUUGCCAAAAGGUAAUGAAUAUAGUACGGUGGUUUAUUUCUCCUUAACUCCUUAAAAGGUUUAAGUAUGUGAUUUUAGAAACGUGCUUGCACUGGAGUAGCAAUUAAAAUUUGAUUGGGUUCCUAAGCAAGCACAAUUACUAAACUACAGAGAUUUUGUUAGCUCAAGUACUGCUGAAACUAUGGUUAUUUGAAAAUGUGGUUGUCUAUGCUGUGAUCAAAUGCUUUGUGUUGCAUAUUGAAAUCGUUGUCGUUAUUUCAGUCUGCCAGACAAGAUAUCUGUUAGUGUGACUAAAAAUUGUUGAAAUUGUUUGUCACUCUUAUUCAAAAUGAAGCAUGUCAGCUAAUAUUCAAUUUUUAUUAUGAUGGCUGUCUAUUUCUCAAUCAAUUUUGUUGUCAUAUUUUCCAUCCACACGCUCUUACUUUGAUGUCGAUAGUUUAAUGAUGCUUUAUGCAGCUUCACGCUUUGAUAUCAAUCUAGACAUUUAAAACUGAUCUAAUUUCUCUUCUUUUACCCUUCCUGUCUGCAGGUUUUCAAUCUCCAUUGAAGGGUUUAGAUAAGUUCAAAUCUGUUUUCAAGAUCUCCAGAAGAACUUUUGACUACAUAUGUUCACUUGUGGAAGAAAAAAUGGUGGUCAAGACAGGAGGUUUUUCAUUCACAAGUGGCAAACAUUUGUCUUUCCGCGAUCAAGUAGCUAUAGCUUUAAGAAGGCUGAGUUCUGGUGAUUCAUUGAUGUCAAUUGGUGAUUCAUGUGGGCUACAUCACUCAACUGUGUCCCAAGUGACCUGGCGUUUUGUUGAGGCCAUGGAACAAAAGGGACUUCAGCACCUGCAAUGGCCUUCUGAAACCGAAAUGGCAGAGAUAAAAUCCAAAUUUGAGAAAAUACAAGGCCUCCCUAAUUGUUGUGGUGUGAUUGAUACCACCCAUAUACUCAUGUGUCUGCCCUCUUCAGACCCCACAAAUAAUCUGUGGCUUGAUCACAUGAAGAAUCACAGCAUGGUCCUCCAGGCAAUUGUGGACCCUGAAAUGAGGUUCCGGGAUAUAGUCACAGGAUGGCCAGGAAAAAUGGAAGACCGGUUGAUCUUUCGAAGUUCGAAUUUCUACAAGUUGUGUGAAGAAGGGAAGAGGUUGAAUGGGAAAAUUUUGGAGCUCUCUGAAGGAUCAGAAAUAAGAGAGUAUAUAAUUGGGGAUUCCGGCUAUCCUUUCCUGCCAUAUCUUGUAACUCCUUAUAAAGGACAGGAGCUUCCAGAGUUGGGCUCUGAGUUCAAUAGACGGCACUCUGCUACUCACAUGGUGGCACAAAGGGCACUGGCAAGAUUGAAAGAUAAGUGGAAGAUCAUUCAAGGUGUGAUGUGGAGACCUGACAAGCACAAGUUACCAAGAAUUAUUCUCGUUUGCUGCUUGCUUCAUAACAUUGUUAUUGAUUUGGAAGACGAGAUGCAGGAUGAAAUGCCUCUGCUUCAUGACCACGACUCUGGUUACCACCAACAGGUUUGUGAAACUGCUGACAUGGAGGGUGAAUAUUUGAGAGAUAAGUUGUCUCUCUAUUUGUCUGGAAAAUUGCCGCCUUAAUCCUGAUUAUUUACAAUGGUGGAUUGAAUAGUUGAUAUUGUUCUAACUGUCAUUUAGCUAGACUUCUGAUUCAAAAUCUUGGUGAAAAAUCAAAAUUAUAUAGAGCAAGUCAAAGCCAAUUGGCCUUUCUUCGUAAAUUAUUUCGUUGAAAUUCUAUGCUUGCCGCACUACUGGGUAAUGCUCUUGUAAUUAACAAGGCAUUGAUUAAGACAACCAAAUGUCGCUGCUAUGAUGUAUUGGCACAGAAAUGAUUAAGAUGGAUAAUUUGGUUUCAUAUGCCAUGAUUAUUUCAAGUUCAUUAAAUUUUCCAAGCUAGUAUUAUAGCUUCUUUGAAGUUUAAAGUCCAAAAUUUUCAGAAUGAAGAUCAAUGAUGGUGAUAGAUAAUAAGCAGGGUAAAAGCUUCGACCUGAAGAAGUGGAAACAUUAAACAAGUCUAGAUUCAGAACGACCCACAUAUCUAUUUAUCCAUUAGGUUUGCAACUCCCGACCAAACAAAGCAAGAAAUGUUCAGACAGAGACCAUUCAUGCGUCAUUUCGAUUAGAACUUUGCAAAGUAUGCAGGUCUUAAAUCUUAAGCAAGAGCUGAAAGUUUUAUCUACUAGUAUACAAAAAUCUGCAUUUCUGAGUCAACCAGGACACUGCCCGUGAUCACACCAUGCUAUUUUCUUGAAUCUCUCUGUCUCUAGUCAUUAAGCUGCAAAACCAGCAAGUCAAUUGCGAGGAUUAGCCAUUUGAUCGAAUCAUGAAGAUGAAACUCUUUUAUCUUUAUGAAUCCACACUUUUGUAAUAAGAUCCCUGAUAACGAUAGCAUGCUCCUAUAAACUAACACUAGAGACACUGUGAAUAAUCUUAGUGUCAGGGAAUUAUAUGUGAGAGAAAAAUUACCUUACUUCGGAACUAGGUUUUAUCAAUAAUUUUGGUUGAUAGAAAAUACAAAUAUUUCGGACCAUUCUUGCUUUACAGAAUCUGGGACCACAGAUUCGUUCAUCAAAGCAUUCCAUACAUUUCCCCCAGGACCACCGAGAACCCAUUUAACUUUCGCUGGCGGGCUAGCAAUAUUAAGAGUCGAAGCAUUUGCCUCCUUGGUCAAGACAUCUUUCUCGAAACAAACAGAAUUCUUUGCAUGCUGCAAAAGGGGGGAAAAAAAAUGUUCCCACCACCUUUUUCAAUGAACCAAAAAAAAAAAAAAAACAGCAAUUAUGUUAUUUUUAAACAUGAAGUUAGAUGUCACUCAUUGCUCAAACUCACAGCAGAAUGACAGCCUGGUUUUCCUUCCUUGGAUGUGACUUUAAUCUUUUUGGCAUCUUUUUGUCGCUUCACAAUGAUUCUCAGUGGAAGGUCCUAAUCAGAAAUAUUUUUCAGCUGAAAGCCACAAUGGUGUGAUAAAGGACAGCAGAGUGACCCUGAAUAAAACUUUCAGGAAUGGAAAAAUUCAAAGUUUAACUGAAAUAAAAAAUUUACAGAUUAAACUCACGGCUAACAGAUUGCCUUCUUUUGCAUUGGUCGUUGAUUUACUUUUUCUCACUUCUUGAAGGUAUCUCUCAGCAGCUAACCGAGAACGAAAUCGAAAUCCAGUCCCUGGCUCAAUGUAAUACUGCAGUAUAGAACUUAAAAGGAAGAACUGCUUAAAAAAAAAGACCUAAAUUCAGCUCUAUCCACAUAUUUUCCAUCAUGCUAUAGAUCAAUUUGGAUUUUCCAAGUCUCCCUCCUCCCACCCCACCUCCCAAAUUUGAUCAGGUAUUCAUUUGUAGAUAAAAUCUUUACUUCAAUGCUUGUCUGGGUUCUAAAGACCAGAUUUUGUACAAAAGCAAAACCAAAAGAAUUGAACAAAACAAUUACAGGGAACUUGGAAUCUCUUCCAUCCAGGAAGCAUUAAGCAUUUUUAUUUUUGAUGAUGUUGCAAAAUUUUAACAAAGAACUACAGCAUCUUUUGGUUUUCAAAAGGCACCAGAGUAUUUGUUAGUUGACACUUGAAUGAAACCCAAAAGAAAAUAUCCUUUAGCUUUAAGUGCUCUUAUUCAAUCUGUAGAAAACGGAAAUGAGUCAAAUGACCAUAACCAAACAAUGCAAGUGAUCAUAUACUCAACUAAGGCUUUAUACCUAAAAAAUAUCUCUGUAUACAUGGAAUGCCAGGUGAUUUACCCAUCCAAAAUCUUAGCAGUAUCUAUGUGACUACCCCUGUGCAUACAGUCUGGCACAGUUACGUACUUCAAUAGACAUUUAUAAUGUCAAUCACUAUGCGUGUUAGCAUGAUAGACACACAUCUAAAAUCCUCAAGCUAACCUAGUGUGAAGAACAUACUCAACAUUGCAGAGAAAGAAGAAAAGAAAGAAAAGUACCCUGUCAAUAGUACCGGCAUAGUUGAUAUUCUUACGGGGAAUCUCCUGAACAAUCCAAUUAUCAGGCAGUCCAAAUGAUGCAGCACUCUUAGUGGCACAGGGCACAAUUUGCAUCUGCAUCAACAUUGAUGUAAUAGAUAAGAUUUACCUUGACUAAAUUUAAUUAUUAAAAGAUAAAGACCCAUACAGAAAAUGCACGCAACCAGUUCUUGCAGCAAAAAGACAAGUCAAGACAUAAUACCCUUAUAGUAACAGAACCGUUGUUUUGCCAUAAACAAAAAAGAAGAUGAUUUAAAAACUUACGUUUUGUACAUUACCAUACUUCACUCUCUUGGGAUUAACAGUAUCUUCUUCCCCUGUUAGAUAUUUCUGAAUAGAUAACAAGGAACGAAACUGCCGUCCAGUCCUCGGCUCGUAGUAGUACUGCAUGAAACAAGGAAAACAAAUGAAACGACAUCCAAUUGAAAGGAUCAUACAGAAGGAUGCCAAAGUUAAUUAAAAUGUUCAAGCCCUUUGUGGAGACAAAAUAAAUGCACAGCUUCACACAAAAGCACUUUAGUGUAAGAAGAAAGAAGUUAAGCUACAGGUCUCAUCAUCUAGCUAAUUAACCAAGCGAAAGAAACAUUAUCAGGUGCGGAUGCCCUCAUUGUCUUAAAAUCUGGACCAAUAAACUCUUUGGCAUAGAGCCUCGCACAAAGAAAAACAUCAAAUUUAGUGCAUGAACAAUACAAUUCUCUACGUGAAAUUGUCUGACCCCUUGAGUGACAACGUUAAGAUUUAUUGGUCUAGAUUUUAACAGAGUACAGACUCAUUAACCAAGAAUCAAAGGUAAAUGAUGAGCAUUAUUUAUUUCUAGCUGAUUUCAUUUCUAUAUGGAUCAAACCCAAUUCCAUCAUACUUUCUCUGAAACUUCUUCGGACUGUCAAGCCUACAAAAUUACCAUUCCCAAAGGUAAAAAUUAAAAACACUAAUUGUGUUAAAAAAAGAAAAAGAAAAAAAGAAAGCUUGUGCAUUAUAAAAUUAAAAUACUUGAAAGGCCAUUAUAAUUAUACUGUAGGUCUUUCGUAAAUAAAGAAACUGAAGCACCUUGUCGAUCCGGUCAGGGCGGGUAGGAGAGUGAGUACGAGGGCGUUCCUCAACGGACCAGCCACGUGGCAAUUUGAAGGAAGAUUUAGAAAAGGUAGAGUUGCGGUCCACCAGCUGCCACUCCAUUUCUCUUGAUGAUUCUUGCAUUUCUCCUCCCGCGAUUUGCAGAUUUGACGGCGAGGCCACUACCUUCUUCUUCUUCUUCUGCACUGACGACAUUCUCCUGUCUGUUUUAGUUUUAUUUUGAUAAGAGCACUCGGCACUCACCAUUAUCACCGAGACUGACAGUCAAUUAAAUGCUUUCUACAGUCAAUAUAACUUGGAUUUCACAUAAUUUUAUCUGGAUAAGAUUUAACUUGUCAUUUAUUUAUUCGUUCUUGUUGCAAAAUACAAAGCUAACAUUAGUAAACUACAAGUCGUUCCGUCUUUAACUCUUUAACGCCUCCACUCUGAAUCGAAAUUUUUUUUAAGUGUCUUCUAACAUAUUGGAAGUCCAUACUAACAUUUUAUUCACGUGUGGGAAUGGAAUUUGUAUUUUUGCAUUAAUAGAAACAUUAUAGCAUCAAUUUUGAAUUAGUCUUUACUGUAGAUCUAGCACUUUAUUAAAAUAAAGAAUCCUUUAGAGACACACACCUAUAAUUUUUUUUUUUUUGUCUUCUAACUUAUUAAAAUAAAAAAAUAUCUUAUUCUGUUAAAUAAUGCUCAUAUUUAUAAACCUAUUUUUUUUUUAACUUAAGAGUCAAUUUGAGAAUGUUGUAACUUCUAAAAUAAUUAUUGUUAGUUGUAUUGUAGAAAUAAUCAAUUAAGUGUUUGUUAAAUUUUAUUUUCAGAAGUACUAUGAAUUUUGAAAACAAUUAAAGACGUUUGGUAAUUUUACUAGGGAGAUUGCCAAUUUCCCCCAUACAGUAAUCAACAUAUGCUAUUUUCCCCCAUACAGUUUUUAUAAUGGCCAAAAAAACCUCCUGACAGCAUAAGUUUACAAUAUUACCCUUAUUUUCAACUACUCUUUUAUUUUCAUUUAUUAUAAAUUAAAUAAAUCACAUGAAUAGAAACUAAAUAAAAAAUUAAGCAUUAAAAACAAGAAAUAUAUGUUUUGAUAUGAGAAAAAAAUAAAUAAUAAAUUUUUUUUCUUGUACUUAUUUAUUUUGUAAAAAUUUCUUAUAAAAUGAUAAAAAACUUAUUAUAAGAAAAUUUGAAUGACAAAUAAAAAUUUAUUAUGAGAUAAAUAAUAAAAUAUUUUACCUAUAUUUUUUACAUUUAAUUUUAAAAUAUUACAAAAUAUUUAUUAUAAGAAAAUGUUCACAAAAUAAAUAAUUACAAGAAAAAAUUUUAUUAUUAAUUUUUUUGCUCAUAUCAAAACAUAUAUUUUUUGUUUUUAAUACUUAAUUUUUUUAUUUAGUUUCUAUUCAUGUAAUUUAUUUAAUUUAAAAUAAACGUAAAUAAAAGAGUAAUUAAAAAUAAGGGUAAUAUUAUAAACUUAUGUUGUCAGGGGGGUUUUUUGGUAAUUAUAAAAAUAAUAAGGGGGUAAAUGGUAUAUGUUAAUUACUGUAGGGGGAAAGUGGCAAUCUCCCAUUUUACUAUUAAACUACUGAAAGAAAACUAAUUAUUAAAAGAAUAGAUAAUGUAGGAUAAAAUAUUAUAUAUACAUGUUCUUAUUUAUUUAUACAUGUAAGAACAUGUGUAUAUAAUAUUUUUAAUUGUGUGUUAUACUAAUUUUUAUUAAAAAUAAAAUUUAUAAUAUAUUGAUUUUAUUUUAUUUUAUUUUAUUUUAUUUUAUUUUAUUAUCUUAAAACAAACGAUAAUUAAAUUUAUAAUACAGUGAAACAAACUUAAUAAUAAUUUGACCAACAAAUUGAUAUUAAUGAAUUAUAAUAAAAAUAUAUUAAAAUAGUAAUUUUGUUUCCAAUUUGAAUAAGGAUAAUUUUGGGUUUAUUUAAUAAUUUUAAGGAUAUUUAUGGAAUUGUAUUAAAGAAUAAAAUUGAUUCUCAAAAUCAGAAUUUAAAAACUAUUCAUUCCUUACUUUUUAAAAUCAACUGUAGGAAGGGCUAGUUUUGACAAAAAUAAUUUUGAUUGUUUCUUACCAAACAUUAAAAUUACCGUUUACAUUUCAAAAUCAGAUUUAAACCUCCCAAAAACAAUCCCAAACGGACCCUUAUUGCGUGUCUUAGGAAAAUUUAUCCCACUCAAAGUUUAAAUCACUUUCUCAUCACUCAAUAUUUAAUACCAAAUAAAUAUAUAAAACCGGUCCACUUUUGGUUGACAAAUCUCAUAUGGUUUAGCACUAGUACAAAGUUCAAACACUAUUAUUCUGUCAAUGGAGUGCUGAGAAAGGAGUUGAUUACAUUUAAUAUAUUCUUGCACAAAACGCAAGAGCUGUCUGUCGUGUAAGCAAGCAUGAGGUAAUAGUUAGGUCAUUCGUGAUAUCAUUCGAAAUAUAAAUCAAACUUCGUUUUUGUUAACUAAGGACCGACGUUAUCGUAUUACCGUCGUCAGUGCUUAUGUUAGGCUCACAAUUUUUAAAUGUAGAGAUAAAUUAAAUUAAGAGUAAUAAUAUAGUCACAAACUCUUAUAUAAAUUUAUUUUUUACAAAUUGAUGUGGCAUUAAUUUAUUGGUUGAAUUAAAUAUCUUUUGACCAACAUGAUUUAUUUUUAUUAUUUUAUAUUUUCAUUUAACCAAUAAAUUAAUGUCACAUUAAUUUAUACAAGAUAAGUUUAUAUAAGAGUUUGUGACUGUAUCAUCACUCUUAAAUUAAGCUGCUGUAAAGUAAUCCCCUAUUAGACUCGACAGUGUGAACGUAAAAGCUGGUUAAGCUCCAUGCAGCGGAAUCUAUUGGCAGGUGCCUGUGUUUCAUGCAAUACAUAUUUGAAUUUUAAUUAUGCCGUUAAUUUUUGCUUGAAUUUGUCCAGAUUUUGACAUUUUUGGAGAUUUUGUGAUAUAAUUUGCCACAUUUUAAGGCCGCGUGCAUUUGAAAUUUUUGCUUGAAUAAGACCAAAUCUUGAACAUGAAGUUCAAUGAAUGAGUUUUUUACAUCAUGUGUAUACACGAUCAUGCGUCGUGUGAUCACUUUGAAUCCAGACAGGGUAGGUAGGAGCCGCCCUGUGAUAAUUGAUCAACAACAUGUCAGGAACGAACUAGCACUCGGCAUAUUCGAUUCCCUUAACUGGGGAAAAAAAAAAUUAAAGACUAGAAUAUAAAUCAGUUUUCAAUGUAUUUUUUGAUUGAGUAAUUAGAUGUUUUAAAAUUUUAUCUCAAAUAAUUUAUAUUGCUUAGGAGGAACAUUUUCUUCAAGGGCUGGGCAAUUUUGGAUUCGGAUAGGAUUCGAACGGAUUUCGGAUAAUUCGGAUUGAAAAAAUUUCAUCCGAUUUUAAUCCGAACUUCAAAUCCAAUCCAAUCUGAUCCGAAAUAGUUUGGAUCAAAUUCGGAUCGGAUGAAUAUUUCGGAUAAGUUCGGAUUCGGAUCGGUUUAGAUCGAAUUUGAAUUUGGGUCUUUUUGACAAUACAAAAAAAUUAAUGAAAUCUAGAAUUAAUGAAAACACAAGUCCUUACACAAUUCUUGCAUUAGCUUCAUUAUUAGAAGCUCAUGGUGUUAUAUGAUAAUUACGCAUUCAAAUAUGGGUAAGUCGAGAGCUUAUCUCACUGCAGCAGCCUUCAAUCUAGUGUUCAUGCUUCGUCUUCUUGAUUUGCUCAUCAAAGACUACACAUUUAAUUCCUUAGAGAAUCAUGCAAUAAAGACAGGAACCUUACACAAUGAACGAGUCAGCAAUCGCGAGGUUGCUAUUGCUGUCAGCUGCUCGUCGUGAGUGGCAGCUGGACGUUGAUCAAGAUACGACUGGGUUUGUUCGGUUUGUGUUGUCAACAGUGUGAGUCGUUGUGUGUGUGGUUUGUGGUCGUGGGUUGGUUUGUUUUGUGGUCGUGCUGCUGGGUUGUGUUUGUGAUUUGGGAAUUAAGUUUAAUUGUUUAAGUUUUUAAUUUUUCAUUUAAUUUCUACUUUUUUUAAGAAGUAGUGCAAUCCGAUCGGAUUAUUCGAAUUAAUCCGAUUUGAUCCGAUCCGAAUCAAAUCCGAUCGGAUUGUACAAAUUACAUCUAUUCAGAUUUUAAAUAAAAUUCAAAUCCGAUCUGAAUUUGUUCGGAUCGGAUCAAAUCUAUCCAAAUUCGAUCCGAUGCCCACACUAGUUUCACUGCGGGCCGCUGAGAAAUUAAUUGAGUCGCCUCAUUUGUAAAGACAAAAACUAGGCGGAUCCCACUACCUUAUAAUCAAUAUAUGGUACAUCCCUCACAUGAACAGUGAAUGAGUUCCACUCAUACACUAUUCAUGAGUGAGGAAUUUACUAUACAUUGAUUGUAAGGUACUGUUUACCAAACUAGGCUAACAACCUAGUGGCCAUAUGAUAUGACCCUUUUUUUUUUUUAAUUUCCUGUUUUUUCAACUUGUGGGGGCUCAGGCAGUACAGCCGUCUAGAAUGUAGACAGAAUAAGAACUAAUACAAGUACUCAAUUGUGUGUGUGAAAGUAGGAAGCUGCUACUGAACUUGCUAGUUGUUAGUUGUUACUAUAAUGGACCGCGUAAAUUCACAGUUGUGACUUGUGAAGAAAGGACGUUACUUGGAUCCAGUUUAGACUUCGUAUGCACGUUUCCUUAACCUCGACCCGUGCUAGUGUUUGACGCACUUUCUCACUUUCGCUUUCGGAUUGACUGACACCCACGCGCUUCCAAAGGAUAAACUGAGGUACUAAACGGGUAAUUAUCAAUUUUAUCCUUGUAUAUGCAUAAAACUACAAAUAGGUCAACAAAUUUAUCAUUAUCUCACAUUUAUAACUGUCAUCUUACUCUAUUUGCAAGCACUAAAUCUUUUUUUUUUUUUGGUUUAAAACAAAAAAAGGUAAGAGUAGAAAGAGCACAAACUAAUUUUUUUUAGCCACUAUCUCUUUGAGAUUCAAACUUGGUUAGUUAAUUAAGUAAAAUUACUUGAAAUCUCAGGGGACUGUUUACAAGUUCUAAAUCACAAGACUCGUUUAAUAAGGGUUAUAAAUGAAAAUAUCCUAAUGAGAUAAUGGUAAGUGAUAUGCUUUUUCACUCAAGUAGAUAAUGCUUCAAGUCCUUCCAUGUGUAUUGUGGGAGUUGUUCUAGAAAUUUAAUUAGACUUUUGAAUGUAAAUUUUGAAAUAGAAAUAGGAGACCAAUGAUUGAAAUUAUUAAAAAAUAUAUAUAUUUAAAAUAAAAUACAUGACAUGAUAAUUUAAAAAAUCAAAAUAUACAUAGAGUUAGAAACUUAUAAUAGUUGGCCCAUUAAUAUACUUUGAAACAAAUUAAAAAGUUUGAAAAUCUAUUUGAUUGCCAAUAGUACAUCACAAUAGUUUAUUGAUUCUUUGAAUUUUUGUACAUUAAACAAAGAAUAAUGGUGAAAGUGUGAAAAUCUGUUCAAUUUGUACGGAGUUAGGUGGCUUCAUGGUGUGGAUAAAUUUGAUUGAAGUGGUUAACUUGUAGGCAUAAUAGUUAUCUAUUCAAACUGCAGGGACUGCUUUGAUAAUAAGUUCUUAACAUCUGAGACAAAACAAUGGUUCCAGCUUCCAACUGAAAUUGGAUAGCAUGUGUUUUGCACGCGCUUCAAUGCGAAUAAAUAGAAAAAGCAUCUAGAACAGUCAGAGAUACACAUACUAGAAGUGUCGAACGAAGACGACUUCAAUCUGCUCGCCUAAAGUGACUUUCUUGACAAGUUCGUGCAGCAACAACGCGGUCACGGCAACAACGUCACGUCCCCGCAACCGACCCUCCCCUUCACCAAAAUUACACGAAAAGACCAACCUUGAUCGCCAAGUCAGUAUGGGCCAUGUCCGCCAUUUUAGUCAAAGUCAGCUGAAGGUCAUACUUAGCUACUAAAAAAUUAACUAUAAAUAUACCACCUCCACUAGUAUCACAUGCCCAUUCCACACAUUCAACAAAAGACUGUUGAGACAGCAAAACAUUCGAAAAAAAAAAAUCUCAAAUCAGAAGUCCGUAUUCAUCCAUUCGCUCAUUCAUAUUUGAGUGUGUGAUGAAGAGAGAUAGAGAAAUGGCAGCCAUUGACACCGCAAAUUGCUUGAUGCUGCUCUCAAAAGUUGGCGAAACAGACCAGGGAAAGCGUGUAUUUGCAUGCAAAACAUGCAACAAAGAGUUCCCAUCGUUCCAAGCUUUAGGCGGCCACAGAGCAAGUCACAAGAAGCCGAAGCUGAUGACGAUGGCUUCAUCAGGGGAAGAUUUUGAUCAAGCCCAGAUGCCACCAGCUUCCCCCAAGAAGCCUAAGACGCACGAGUGUUCGAUUUGUGGUCUUGAGUUUUCUAUUGGGCAAGCGCUCGGUGGUCACAUGAGGAGACACAGGGCAGCAGCUGCCAUGGGCGCCGCCGCCGAUGGAUUGGUGACUCGUCCUCUUUUGCCGCUCCCCGUUCUGAAGAAAUCCAAUAGUUGUAAACGAGUUUUGUGCUUGGAUUUGAACUUGAUGCCUACUGGGGAUGAUUUGAAGUUAUGGGUCGCUUAGUUUGUUCCUUUCAUUGUUAGUAAUUAGUCUAUAGCCUUUAGAUAAUUGGUUUUAUAAUUUCAUUUUCAGCCCUCUGUAUUUACCGAUUUAUUGGGAUUUUGUUCUCGGAUUGAUUCAUUUAUUUGUACACUGCUAAAACAAAAAGAUUCUUAUUAUUGAUUCUCAUCAUCAGCUUUGCUUUCAGUUCCAGAGAUAAUGAGAUAUCAUUUUUUGUACAUAUAUGUAAUAGAGUUCGUUUCCUCGUUUGUUUCUUUUUUUUUUUCUUUUUUCAAUUGUUCGAGUUAUCCAUUUGCUGUUGAUUCAUGCUUAUUAUUAGAACUUCACCCCCCCCCCCCCCUUUUUUUUUUUCAAAUACUGAAAUUUUUAAUUUGAGGCUAUUCCAAAGUCCAAACGGCGGAAUUAGAAUAUUAUAUUCUUUAAUCUGGGUCAAUUCCUUGUGUGAUUAAAAUAAUAAUAAUAAUAAUAACCGUCUGUGUGUAUAUAUAUAUAUUUAUUGAUAACCCCGUGUGCUUGUGUGUAUAUAUUAAAAACAAAAAUGUAGAAAACCCUUCAACAAAGUCAAGAUGGGGUUCCGGAUUUUCGAAAGAAACCCUCUGCGCAGCGUUGGCAAUCCGGGGUGUGUUGUAAAUGACUCGACUACUACGGCAAUAAUCAACUAGAAUAUAUUUGGAAACAAGUUGUGGCUGCUGCUCAAUUAAAAAUUUUAAAAUAUAUCAGCGGGAUCAUAUCAUUUAUAAAUAAAUGAAUCAUGUUAUGACGAAUGUGUAUUUAAUUUAAAUAAUCGUCAUAAUACACAGCCAUAUUACAUAUUAAUUAUUUGUAUUAUCUCUGAUGUAUUCUAAAAUUUCACACUCUCGCUGUCAACAAAAAAAAAAAUUCUAUUUGAGUUGUACCAAAUGUGCACAGUUAGAUUUUAUUAACAUAAAAUUUUUAUAUUCAUAAAUUUUUUUAAAAAGAGUUAUAAUGGAUCAAUACCUCUCUUUCUUUCUUAUUGAAUUUUUAAUUUUUUUUCAUUUGAUUUGAAUUCAUCAACUUAUUUUAAAUCUCUAUCCUUUUCCAUUAGUUGAACUCUUAUUAAUUACCAAGAAAUUUUUGCAUAUCCAUUAGCCAAAUUUUAUAUGCGGCCUCAAUAUUAUAUGCUGCUUAUUGAUUAAUUAAUUAUACACUAAAUUUUAUUUAUACUAAUGGUAGAGUUUAAAAUAUUUAAAUUUAAGGGUGUACAAUAGCCUUAUUAUUAUUAAUUUAAAUCUAAAAAUACAAAACAAUCUCAUUAUUAAUAUCGUAAUAAUUUAUAUAGAAAUUUAUAGGCGAUUCAAAGCUCUACCAUAUUCCCCAGUCCCCCGUUCCCCCCAGUCGUCCCCCGCUAUCGGCCUCUUAAGGCCAUGCAAGAGCCCAUUUGUGAGAUCGGGUCAACAAAUCUCUAAAUUUUUGUCCAGUAAUAACCGCUUAAGCCCAUAAAAUCCCAAAAUAGUAUAGUCGCAUUAUUAUACAGUAACCUUUCAAAAUAAAAUUACCAUAAAAUAAAAUAAGUGUAAAACUGUAUAAGGUUGUUAGUAGGGAGAUUAUUUGUAUUUAUUUUAAUAAUUAAUAAUAAUAAUAAUAAUGAUAGUAGUAGUAACGGCUAUUGAAAAUAAUAUUAAUUUGUAGCUUCAGGAUAUUGAUUCAACUGCGAUUGUCUUUUUGUGUAUUUUUUUUUUCUUUUUUUUAACCUACUUUUAAAAAUUUCUGUAAUAUCUGAAGACCUGCUAAAAUUAUGUUUUAGGUUGCACAUGACCUUUCACGAGUUCAUCUUCACUGGUUUAUUCAUGCUCCAUACGUUAAGUUUCUCAGUCCCAUUGUUGAAUGCGUACAAAUGGGAAUCAAUAAAGGCCGCUACGGUUGGAUAAACCCUAGAUGUGAUGCAUGUUUUGCCCUCCAGCUCCAAAACUUUCUAAAACAGAAUGAUCCAUAUGCAAAAGUGAACAAAAAAUAAAAUAGAAAAAGAAAAUAAUAAUAAAAUGAAAUUCCUGAGGCUUGAAUUCUAUCGGGCAAUAAAAGCUGCCAAAAAAAAAAAUCAUUUUUUUUUUUAAUUUUCAGAGAAUUUUUGGUUCAAAAUAUAUGCUAACUUUCUAAAAGAAAUUACAAGUGCAGUUCGAAGAAACACUACAUGUCAUCAAUAUAAUGAUCAUACAUAUGAAUACCCAUACUCUUUCACAGGAAUUUUGCCUCAAAAUGCUAACUUCUAAAAGAAAUUACAAGUUCUCAGACUAAUUAAGGGUAACUAAGUCCAAUUCAACGAGAAGAAACUUGAAACAAAUACAUUGUCUUGAUUAUACUAAUCGACGGAAUCCCCAUUACUACAUAACCUGUUGCUUAGUCUUGGGGAAAUAAGAUUAUUGUGCACCCUUAAAAUUAAAUAUUUUAAUUUGAUGUCAACAACCCCAACUUAUAAGCUAUUGAAAUCAGAGUUCAAGUGUAAUAAUCAUGCAUAAUACCACUGAUUAUUAAAGCGUAAAAACUUUGGAGUUAAUUAAUUUCUUAAUGAUCCUAAAUUACUAAUGAUUCAUGAUUUCACACUACAACAAAUAUGAUUUAUUAUAUCACUAAUUUAUAGCGUUUUAUAUCGAAUGUCAUCACAAUCAUACAAUUUAUAGCAGUUUUAUAUUUAUAGCAUUUUUCAUAAAACUGCUAUUAAACUGAAAUUUUAUUAUAUGUAUAACAUUACUAUUAUGACAUUUUUUAAAAGUUAUAAAAACGUUAGUUAGCAUAGCAUUUUGUAAAAAAAGUUAUAAAAUAAAUUGUUACUUAAUAGUUUUUAUGACUUUUUUUUGUAAAAGCUAUUGGAAAAAACAAAUAAUAAUAUUUUUAAAAUGCUAUAGAAAUAAAAAAAUCAUUAAAAAAUGUUUUUUUAGGUGCCAAAUUUCAUUAGAUUGGCGCCCAUAUUAUAACAUUAUAUUAUGAUAUUUUUUUUCAAAAUGCUAAAUAAAUAUAUACUUAGGAUAGCGUAAUUGUAAAGAAGUUAUAAAAUAAAUAUUGAAAAAUUACUUUAUAACUUUUAUUAAGUGCUAUAGAAUUUAUUAUAAAAAAAAAAAAUCUCUAAAAUGGCUCUAAAUUUUCCAUAUUGGUGCCCCAUUCUUCCCACCCUAAGAAAAAGGCCAAAAGCUUUCUAUUAUUUUUUUCCCAAAUCCCUUUCAACUUUUUCUCUCUACAACUCUAAACUUUCUCUUUUCCCAUUUUUCUAACCGGUCAAAAGUAGUUGAAUUAAAGUUCAUCUUCUCAAAUCAAUCUGCCAGGUAUGUACAAAGCUUUAAACUUGUUACGUGCUUUAAAAGGGUGAAGGAAUAAUAAUUCUUUGAUAUGCAUGCGUUACAAUACAAAUAACAACUUUUUCGGUGUUAGCUCAUAAAGGAAUACAAAUAUGGAAAGAAGUUUAAAGUUGAUUUAGCUAUAUGAAAUUUUCUUUGAAAAGGAUAUUAAUUAAUUAAAAUUGAAUAGAUGAUUGGAUAACUAUAUGUAUGGAUGUUCUAGCUUGUCAUAAAAUUGGUUAUCAAGAUUGAUAAUUAAUUAAUGAACAAGUGAGACGACAUAAAGAAUAUUAAAUAAUGCACAAGUAGAAAAAAUAGACAACAAAAAUUAUGUAAAUAAUUGUUUGUGAUAUAUGCUGCCAGGUGAGGCCUUGAAGGAUAUAGACAGCUCUGAAUUGGUUCCCGUUUACAAAGACAAAGAAUUAGAAAUCUGGUAUAUAUUUGUGUUUAUGAGGACGAGUACUUAGGAUGGGAUGAUGAAGGAUAUCAAAUUUCGAAUGACGAAAAUAUAUUUUUUGUAAUGAACAUAUAAGGGAGAGUGUUAUGAAUUUAUUAAAAUAAAUGUAGAUAUUCAUAAAAUAUAUCUCUUAGUCUCUCCACUAUCUCCCAUUAGCAACCUUUAGCUUCCUUAUAACUCUCACUAUCUCACAAGAAAUUAUGAUCCAUAAUUUUUCAUUAAUUUUAUGGAGUGAUCAUGUAACUAUAAAAGGAGAGCUUAUCUUUUUAUUUUGUACACACACAAUUGGAAUGAAUCAAAUCACUCUAUAAUAUAUUCUCUCAUUUUAUUCUUUAUCUUGCGUUACUUCUUUAUUUGUAUUGCUAGCUAAUAGUUCUUUUUGUUUUUUAUAAGGUUGCCUCAUCUUAAAAAAAAAUCAAUUUAUAUUUUUUAUUAGUUUCAUUAAAUAUAAAAUUAAAAAAAAAAUAAUAUUAAAUUUUUUUUUAAAGCCGCAAUUCUAUUUUCUAGUAAUAAUAUAAUACAUAGACAUAAUCACAUAAGCUGCAGCCUACAAGAACAAGCUUAUUUGAAAUCAAUCACCUGACAACAAAAUUGCUUUUUGACUCGUGCACAUAUGACCAUUACUAUUCGGCCACGUACGAAUGUUACAUAGUCUAUCUGACCACCACCCGUUUAAGAUUUUCCACUCUUCUCAAACCAGAAUGACCGAAACACCCUCACGAAAGUUGUUUUGCCAAAAUCAACGGUAUAGAUCAAUGCUCCUCUUCACACGUGUACGAUAAAGACACCACGCAUCCGUGACUUAGUGAUCGUGCGGGUGUAUUAUAUCCUAUUCUCUAGUACAUUUCCCUUCACGAGAAAAAAUCAAGUGCUUCUAGCUCACCGUUUCCUCUUAAUUUCCGCCGCCGGUGUGUUUUUUCCGGAAAAUUCGCGGCGUUUCUGCUGGCGAUCGGCCGUACGAUUGGAUUUCCGUUGAUCUUCUUUCGACGGUACGGACUUUGAGUCCUUAAAGCUUUGAUGCUCACAUUUCUUUGGGCUGAAAAUAAAUUGCAUCCGAAUAUGUUUCAAAAGCAAAACCUUUGAUGCUCACAUUUCUUUGGGCUGAAAAUAAAUUGCAUCCGAAUAUGUUUCAAAAGCAUAACCUUCUUUUUUUUUUUGUGUAAAAUGAUGAUUUUAUGAAAAUUUAGGUUUUUAUGUGAGAUUUAUGUCUGCAAUUUAGUAAUUUGUGGAAAAAAUUUAAUUUUGGUUAGUGUCUCUGUUUGUGUGUGUUUCUUUUUCUCUUGUGUGCUUAAGGACGUACAAAGUUUUGUUUGUACACGAAAUGGCUGUCGUUUUUAUGUUCUGCUUUUGUUUGUGCAGAGGUUGCUUUGGAAUCGUGAAAACAAGCAGAGUGAGAAGUUGAAAUUCAGUGUACUAGUUGAAGACGAAAUAUGGUAAUUACUUUUUCUUUUCUUUUUUUUCACAUUUAAUAUACUUGUUCUUUGUUAGUUACUUGUACAAUUUUGAUCCUUUUAGCAUGGUAAAGCUUGCAUUCUUCAUAUUUGUUUUUCAAACUUUGACCAACAAGCAAACAGAGAUAAAUGAAUUUGCUGCAUUUUGGUUUGAGGCAUAAAGUGAGAGCUAUGCUAGAACCCCCAGUGAAUGAUUUUUUUUAGAUGUGAACUUCUAGUCUUUUAAGGUAAUAAAACCUUUUGGAGGGUCAUGAUAACGUGAUGUAGGAGUAGGCUUAGUCAGUAUUGAAAGUAUAACAUGCAAGUGCUCAGGACUUGAGAGAGUGUAAGUUAAGUUAUUCGUCUGAAACUAAAUAGUAAACCCUAUGAGUUUUGGAAAUAUAGUCUACUUAAGAGACUAAUCCUUGUGAAAGAGUAACCCUUUCAGUUUCGUUGAAUGAGGGGAACAGUAAGGAGAAGAAUAUAAGUUGUGAAAAAUGUUGAUUCUGGAGUCAUAAUGCUUCAUUUUUAUUGGUAUAUGGAUUAAGGUGUUCAAUCUUUCCUUCUGUUCUUGUAUAUAUGAAUCAUGUGGGCAUUGAGCCAAGCAAAUUAGCAAUUUUAAAGUACUUGUUUCUGGCAUUCUUUUCAGAACAAGGGGUUUUGGAUGGCAAAGGGAACUGGGCAUGAUGGAGAUGCAGCAUUUGAUAAUCCUUCAAGGAUUGAACCAAAGCGGCCUCAUCAGUGGUUUGUCGAUGCUGGCGAUUCAGAGCUCUUUCCUAACAAGAAGCUAGCUGUACAAGCUGCAAACAACAAACCAAGAGUUGAAGUAUCAAAUUCAAAUGUUCCUUGUUGGGAAAACACUUCCAGUUUUCAGACGGUCCCAAAUCAAUUUAUUGGCCGUUUGUUUGAAUCUGAGUCUGCCAGGACUGUCAAUUUUGCUGAAAGGAACUUAUCUUCUGUUGGAACAGAUGAUUCGAGAAGAAAGGGUUUUGAGGACCAUUUUGGGGAAGAUUCAUCGGUUGGAUUGUCAAUAUCUCAUGGAAUAGGCGGUCCUGAAGCAUCAUGUUUUAACUACGGUGGGUGUAGAAAAGUGAAAGUCAAUCAGGUUAAGGACUCGAUCGGUGGUUUGAAUGCCCCAAAGGUACAUAGUUUUGAUAGUGAAAAUAACAAUGACUUGUCUACUGCUCCAGCCUAUACCAGGGAGAACCAAAGUGGUUAUAUGACAAUGGCACAGGGAUAUAAUAAGGAGGAUGACACUGUCACACUGAUGGGUCAUACAUAUAACCGGGGGGAUACUAAUAUCAGAUCAACAGGUAGCACCUAUUGCAAGGGAGAGGAUGGUGCCAUAUCUUUGUCUGACACCUAUAGUAAAGAUGAUAACAAUAUAAUAUCUUUUGUUGGAUUUCAUGACGAACAUGAAAUUAUCUCCAUGGGUCAGCCAAUUGGUGGCUAUGACUCCUCAUACAAUCAAUCUUCAGAUCAAACUGAAGGAGCUUCGGAAAAACAGUUGAAUACAUCUAACAAUGCCAUUGCAAUUGCAGCUUCCUCUCGAGCAGCUAAAUCAAAGCCUGAAUCUCUUUCCAAGAGUAAACUAGAUUUUAAAACAUCCAAGAAAGAAGCUCCGAACAGCUUCCCUUCAAAUGUCAGAAGCUUGAUAUCAACUGGUAUGCUUGAUGGGGUUCCUGUGAAGUAUGUAUCUUUGUCACGGGAGGUAAAUUCCCAACCUUUUAUCUGUUUCUUUUAUUGAUGUUGCUUUAAUGACUUAUGGUAUAUGCCUGCUUGUAACAAGGAGCUUCGCGGUGUUAUAAAAGGUUCGGGUUAUCUCUGCGGGUGUCAAUCAUGUAAUUACUCCAAGGUGAGUCUUUUUUUUAACAUAUCCUAGAUAUUCUUGUGAAGUUCUAUAGACCUAAUGAUUGGAUAUAUAUGUUUGUAUAAGGUGCUAAAUGCUUAUGAGUUUGAACGCCAUGCUGGUUGCAAAACAAAACAUCCGAACAAUCACAUAUACUUUGAGAAUGGAAAGACAAUCUAUCAGAUAGUACAAGAAUUAAGGAGCACUCCUGAGAGCUUGUUAUUUGAUACCAUUCAAACCGUUUUUGGUGCACCUAUUAACCAGAAAUCAUUUAAGAUUUGGAAAGGUAAUUGAAAUACUCUUUGAUCUGAGUUCUGUCAUUAAAUACUCUUGUGCAUGACUCUUACUUGUCUUUGGGUUUCUGUUUGGUGGAUUCAAUACUUUUCUCUAGUUCUGUUUUUUGAACGUUUUUUCUUCUUCUCUAUUCUCAGAAUCAUUUCAAGCAGCUACCCGUGAGCUUCAGCGAAUUUAUGGAAGAGAAGAACUGAACUUGUAAGUUGAUAUUAUUAAUAAGCAUUUUGCAAAUGUGUGCAUGGUAACAAGUUGUUACUAACCUAUGUACCCAACCACUCGUAUGCUCUCCAAAUUGUCCAGAAUUUGGUUUCUUGCUUUGUGGUUCGUUGAGACAAUGUGUUUUGAUGUACAAAGAAGUGUGUAGUAAAGGACACAAGAGCAAAGCUUAUGUGUAUUUAGGUUUGAGAUGUAGGAUCUGUGAAGACUCAACUCUGUCACCUUUCAGGUGCAAUAGAAAUUGUUUUGCUCCAUGCCUACUUUUACCGCUUCAAUGUAAAUAUUCUUUAUUCAUGGAGGUGGUGAAUCUGAUGAUGUUUGUACAGUAAGUGGAGGUUUCUGAAACUCUUGAAAUUCACCAAAGGCUUUCCUACAUUUCUAAAAUAGUAUUAGAAGCCCUACCUUCUACUAAGUAAGCUAAAUUAGAAUGUCAAUCACAGCAGGAGAGACUAAUUGACCUAGAUUAUUAUCAUUUUAAUUACAACAUCUUGAAUAAAUUUGCAGCUAAUUAAAUAAUUCCUUCCUCUGAUUAAGCCCUGAAUUUCUGAAACCUUCCAAAAUAUGUAAUACUGUCUUAUUCAACAUAAAGAACUAAAAAAAAUCUCAGGGCACUCUUACAUAUUCGCUGCAUCGGAUUCAAUAAUCACGGGAGGUAUUAAGCCAGCCGCAGCGUCCUUGGCAACUUGGAUUCCAGUUUCAAACUCCAUUGGUUCAGGGUCGGCACUCGGCACACUUGGUCAUAUUCAAGUCAUUUUAGUAUAAUAACAAAUCGGUACUUAAUUUUUCACAUCAAGAAACGGAGUUCCACAGCAAAUUUUAACGGAAUUUUGACAAUAACAAAAUUUGCCUUUCUACAACAGAGACCCAAAAAACUAAGCAUGUCAUGUCACAAGCAGAAACCAAAAAAAUAAAAAUAAAAAGUUCAGAAAAAGAAAAUGGGUAAAAAAGGAAAAAUAUGUCAGUCACAAGAUACAAGGAGCUGUUUGCCACAAUGGAAAUUCUCAAUAAUUAAAAACUACAUUUCACACGCUAAAACAAGAUUCAAAAGAAUGACAAGAAAAAUUACAAGCAUCCAUCACAGUCAUCACAAUUAGUUUUUUCUUUUCUUUGUUUCUUUUUUUUUUCUUUUUUCCUUUUCCCUUUCCAAGAGUUACACCUGGACGUGCCUCAGAAGUUAUGGGUUAUUAAGUACCACCACAGCAAGCUGAUUUUUGGGCGGCUUGACCAACCCCCCCGGCCUGGUCUGGUUGAUUAAUCUUGAUUGUUGAGGGCUGAAAAUUAAAGACCAAAACUUGUCAAGAAACGAAACAGUGCAUGGUUCUUAAAUUUACUUAUUGAGUGAGGAAUUCAAAUAAAACAAUUACCUCAGAUCUUGAGUCAGUAUCAGCAAGCCUUUGUUUAAUAUCCCUUGCUAUUGAAAAGAAAACUUGCUCCACAUUUAGAUUUGUCUUUGCACUCUGCAAUACACAGUAUCUUUCAAUACAUACCAACACUAUUUCACCUGUAUGUUAUAUGCUUCCAUGAUCCACAAGAGAUACUUACGGUUUCAAAAAAUUUUAUACCAUACUCAUCAGCAAGUGCUUGACCCUUCGAGGUAGGCACAGCCUGAAAAUAUAUAUACCAAGGAUAUGAUCAGAACACUGAAUUACAAAUAAAUGCAAGGAGGUGGAGAUAAAGAAAAGAGUUGCCUCAAUUAUUAAUCCAUAAGAAUAUAUUUACAGAGACUCUACAAAAUACUGUGAAAGUGCCAUCUUCCAUUCUGAAGAAAGAUCCAGAAAUCAUAAAGAAACACAUUAUGGAUCUUGAUUACCAACUAAGUAACUUACCCUUUUGCUUUCGUCCAUGUCAGCUUUGUUUCCUACCAAAACCUUGUUGACAUUAUCUGAAGCAUGUUGUUCAAUGUUGCGAAUCCAAUUCCUAAUAUCUGAAAAAUGAUAAGAAGCAAUUUUAUAAGUGCAAUACUUAGACCGACAGAGCAUUGCCAAAUCUGAAGGAUACACCCCAAUAAAACAAAGGCACCUUAAAUAACACACGAAUAUAGAGCAAAAUGAAUUUAAAAAGAGAAAAGUAGGACAGAAUCCUUUCGUUCAAAAUAUUUAAAAUAAGAGGAUUACUGUUGAAAGACGAUUCAUCAGUAACAUCGUACACCAGCAAAAUUCCCAUGGCUCCACGGUAGUAAGCUGUUAGAAAAAGGGAGAAAUAAAGGUUAAUAGGGAAGAAUUCGAAAUAAACCACAACCGAGUUUAGAAACUAAUUCCAACACAUAAAAAAACUAAAAUAAAAUCCAUUAGAGAAACAAUUCUACAAAAACUUUAGCAUGACCAAAGCUCAUAUUCAUAUGACCUCCAAGCAUUCAUGUACUUCUAAUGGCGACAAAGGACACUGCCUCUCUUAAAGUGACAUGAUAUAGACUCUAACUGAAUAGAGGUAUCAAGAAAGCUAUGAAAAAUUUUAGAUAUUACGCCACAGCCACAUGCUCCGGUAUUUAUAGCAUCAGGACAGAAUUUUGACAUUUGGCAAUAUGAUGGAAUAAUUUCAGGUAAUUGGCUAAGUGGCAGGCAGGUGCACAAUAAUCCAAGGCUUUACCUAAGACUUGAGCCAACCAGAAAGGCGUUCUUAUUUCUAAGACAUAUGUUGCAUGUGCAGAUCCAAGUGAUCCCCACUUAUGCGGCAACUGGCUUUAUAGUUAACCUGCAGCAUUAUAGUUAUUAGGCAUCAAGGUCCCACUCACAAUAAUCUCCCAUAGAGUUGUGCUUACGUAGGAUCUCCAGCUCGACUUCCAUGUACGGAGCUGUGUAAUGCGGCACCCAUACACCCCUAUGCCCACCAGGGCUAUUUUAAUGCAACAAUUCCUCAAUAAAAAUCAAGCUUUCAGUUUUCUGAAAUUGUCUAUAGUCUUUAAGCAAUCACAUCCACUCUUAGAUUCUCAUCCAGCCCUAAACAUUAAAGGUUACUAUUCUACAGCAGCCUCCUUGGAAUAAAAUGGAAGAAUGGCGAUGAGCCAAUAAUCUUGUAGAUUGCUCGCACUCCGUACCGGGGUAAGUUAGGAGAAAUAUCAGUACCUCGACUCGCAGAGAAGAGGGUGGGAUCAGGCAUCUGUUAGACAUCAGGGACAGCAAGAAGUUUCUCACUCAUGCAAGCGAAGCAACUAGUUUAUGUCUAGUAGUAUGCAAGCGAAGCAACUAGUUUAUGUCUACUAGUAUGCAAGCAACCUCAGGGCUCAUGUGGAUACUAGAGCAAGGGAAAGAAUACAUAGAUAGGGUUCAAGCAAUUCUUUAAUGAGGCCUUCACUGAGCUCAAACUGGACACAACUAGUUUUGAUGGGCAUCUGCAACUAAGAGGGAGCGGUAGAUCAUCGAUUCCUGCUCUUAGGUUGCUUUACAGAACCAUUUUCGCAAUUCCAACAAAGAAAUUUUUAUCAUUCACAAAUAUACAGUAUAUAGGCUCCUCAAAACAGUUUAUGUUAGCCCUGGGAUCUCUGAGUUAAACAAAAAAAGUACAAAUCACCAAUCAUUGCCAAUUUCUUUCUCAGUUGUUCAGUUAAGGAGGACAGUCGUCACACAAAAUUCUAUAAUUAAACACAAGGAUCAGAAAACUUACCGGUUGUGAUUGUUCGGAAGCGCUCCUGACCAGCUGUAUCCCAAAUUUGGAGCUUGAUCCGUUUCCCAUCAAGCUCAAUGGUUCUUAUUUUAAAAUCAAUGCUGUGUGAAAAGGAAUGAACUUGUAAGGGCUGAGAAAUGAAUGAACGAAAAGAAAUGCAAAACAUCAAGAUACUGCAACAUUACUCCGCAGUUAAGAGAACACACACCCUAUGGUAGUGAUAAAACUGGUGGUGAAGGAACCAUCUGAGAAACGCAAAAGAAGGCAACUCUUACCCACACCUGCACAGCCAAACAAAUCAUGUUCAGAAAUCAACCACUAAACUAUACAAGCUUCAUCCAAGGCGUUAAAAAGCAAGCCAUCAAAUUUAUGGAUAGUAAUAUACAACACCAACAUGUCUGAUACUGAUGCUUUCAUUAGAGAGAUAGAGUAUGUAUAUAUCUAUUUCGCGGCAUUAUUGAGACAUUAACAAGAUCAACUUCAAAUCGCAACAAUGCAUCAAAUUUCAAAGGCGAAAUUAAAACACGCGCAAUUUCUUUGUUUCUUCAAUUAUUCGACUCUUUUAACAACUUAAAAAAAAUUAAAAUACCUCCCCUUUCGAAGUAGAUCCUUAGAAGAAAUAACAUCUCACAAAAUGCACGUGACAAAAUAUAAUCAGAAAAUGCGAUCUAGCCAAACAAAGAUCUGUUAGUUCCUUGAGAAAAUGGAAGAGAAAAAAGCAAAACCACGCACCGCUGUCGCCGAUCAAUAGAAGCUUAAUGAGACAAUCGUAGUCAGCUCUUGCUCUCGCAGGUGGAGCGGCCAUCUAUUAAAUAAAAUCAAAGCUAGAAACAAAGACAAUACACCUCUCUGCACAUCAAAACAACAAAACGCACAAAUCACUAAGCAAAACGACACACGUUCAUUUUCUUUGUUUACAUGCAUAUAAAUGAACUUAAUUGUUCAAAAGUACCAGAUCAAAACAGCGGAAGGCCAGCGACAAAUAAAGAGAGGUGAAUUUUUUUUUUUUUAAAAAAAAAAGGUUCGUUUGAUUUUAAUUUGAGCAAAAACGAAAAAAAAAAUUGAGAUAAUUUAUUUAUCCACCUGAAGGCUGCAAUGCAAAUCAAGCUUCUCCGAUCUCCCCGACUAUGAUGGUGUAGGUGUAGCUAAAAUGCGCCUUUUAUUUUUUUAAAAGUAAUUAGUUGCUUUUUUUUGUUUUUUCCUCGUUCUGGUGCGCCGAUCACUCCUAGCACACGCUAGCAAGACUUCCAGGCGCAGAGGCCACCUGUCUCGUUUGCUACUUUUGAGUUAUAUUUCCACCAAUUAUGAGAGACCAAUGAGAUUAGAUAUCUUGCGUAUGAAAAAAGUUUGUGUGAGCUGGCAUCCUAAUCAUCACCACAAUACAAUAUUUUUGACAAGUGGUCUUGUAGAAUAAAACAUCUAAUUUCUAUAAUAUAUAUAAAAAAAAUGUUGGAUAUAAAACUUAUAAUAUAAUAUUGGUCUAGUACAACGAUCAUAAAAGAUUUUAAAUGAUAGAGACGUGAAAUAUAAAAAAAAAAAAUGGAAAUAACAUGAAAAUACGUCAGCCUGUUUGUGUUCGUAUCAAUGCUGGUUUUUUUUUUUUAAUUGUUGUAAAUAACAUGAAGAUCGUUCCAAUACUAGAUCAGGAUCAUCUUCCACAUCCAAUUAUAAUUUCCUGACUUCAAUAAUAUUCUAUCUUCUGGGUAAGAAAUUAAAAAUGAAAGUAAUUUCACCCUGGGUGUAGCUUGAUUGGUCGUGAAUACAUUUUAUGCCUAUGAUCACACAAGCUACUUAAUUUCUGGAACUAGAGGUUUUAAUAUGAUUUUUUUUUAAUCUUUUCUAGAAUAUAUUAUGAAAGUUCUAUUAGCAAAAUAUUAUGAAAGUUCUUCUAGAAAUUGAUGGCAAAAGCUUUCUUGUUGUACUGCUAACUGCUCUGGCGGCAAUUUUUUUUUUUUAUUACAUGAAACUAUUACUCAAAUUACAACUCAUAUUACAUGAGAUUAUAACUUAUAUUUACAAAUCAGACUAUUAUUGGGACCAACUUACAUCAAUGUUAAUGGAGCGCUGCCCAAAUUUUAACUCUCACAAAUAUUCGAAGGAUGUCUACUCCUCACACUUAGGUAAGGAAAAAAACUGCCUUCACUCAAAUUUAAUUGAAAAAGAAAAUACUCCUACAAUGCAGCCCUGACCACUCUGGCGGCUAUUAAUAGCAUCAUCUUGCAAGUAUCAGUCAAGAAGUGUAGCUAGUUGUGUCUUGAUUUAAUAAAUCAUGAACCAAUUAAGGACUUAUUUAGUUCCUUUUAAAUUUAAUAGCUACAGUAUAUCCAAAAAAGAAAAAUUUAAUAGCUACGGAUUUCACACCAACGGGCAACACAACCACCUGCACAUGCAAUCCUCUAAAGCAAAAAUGAUUGCGGGAUAUUCCAUUAGAGGAGUAGACAAUAAUUUAGCUGAACUGUGCUUUAGGUGCACCGACUUGUAAUUUUCAGGCAAGCAUUUACUCGAAAAGCUGAUAAACCUCUUAUGAGCUUUUAUUUGACCAUUGCAUUGGGGCCUUGCAGUAGUCGGUCCUGCAAUCAAAAUAAAGUUUGUGGAUGAAACGAGAAUCUGCAGAGAGCUGGAAUUCAUUUGAUUUUAUUUUUUGAGGACUGGCUGCCGUUGGAAACCUUCAUCCCCAGCAAAAAGUCUGAUAAUCUCUAACACUCCACAAGAAACUAAAUUAAAGAAAGGGGACACUUCUUUGAUGUCUAUAUAUAUAUAUAUGUGUGUGUGUGUGCGCGCGCUUGCGCGCGCUUGCAUCAAAAAAUGAAUAUCGAAAUUUAUUUCCUUCAAUCGUAACAGAGAAAGGAAUUCAGAUGCCUCAGCUCUCGAGUCCGUACCAUUACCAAGAAUCCUUUGCUUUAUGUGCUGUGAAUAAGAAAACUUGUUCCGCAUUUAGAUUCCUCAAUCGGCAAAUGAUGAUAGUUACGGUUUCGAAAAAUUUGUUCACAAGCUCAUCAGCGAGAGCUUGAAAAUACACAUAUAAAGGUUAUGAUCAGAGCACUGAUUUAUGAAUGCAUGCAAGGGUCGGACUUGUGCAGGCACAAUAUGGAAAAGUAAAAAUUACUUGAAAAUGGUUACCAUCUUCAAGCUUUCUGAGCAGCUAUUCAUAAAUCAUGAACAAACUCAUGCUGGAUCUUGAUUACAAGUAAAAUAACGCACCCUUUUGUUUUCAUCCACAUCAGCUUUAAUCACCACUAAAAUCUUGUUAACUUCAACUGAAGUUUGAUCGAUGCCCUCAAUCCAAUUCCUAAUAUCUGAACAUGGUAAUUAAGAAGCAAAUUUUAUUUUUUAAGUAAUAAAAAAAAAAAAAAGAAUGGGAUAAAGUUUUUGCAGAUUCUUUAUCAUCCUCUCAAAUGAAACAAGGCCAUCUUCAGUAAAACACAAAAUGUAAAGCAAAACGAUUCGGGGAAGAAACUAAAUGGCGACAGAAUUAAAUCUUUUUAUUAACAUGUAGCCAGUUGGCUACUGAAUUUGAUCCGUGAAGAUAAGAGAAUUAUCAUGAGGAUUAGUGUUGAAGCAUGAUUCAUCCAUUACGUCGUGCAUACGCCAUUAAAAUUCCCAUGAUAGUAAGCUGUUAUAAGAAGAUAAGAAAAUAGAAAGUCUCUUGGAAGGAAUAAAAAAAAAAUGAACCACAAAUAGAUGUGAAAAACAAUAUUUCAGCUAUAUAUACGUAAUAAGAACUAAUAAGAAACUAAUACAUAUAAAUGAUGCUACUAAAAUAUUAGUAAGACCAAAAGAUGAGAUUAUAUAUUCACCACCAACAUGUGCAAAUUGCACAUUUUAUUAUUAUUACUCCAUGGUGUUUAAAUUAUAUCUAGAGUGCGUUGAGAGUGACGUGAGACAAUUGGACUGCCACAGUCCAGUUGUCAAGGUGUUUAGUUACAUCUUACAAUUGAACUCCAACAGUUUAGUAUUUUAAAAGUUAAUAAUUUUAUUCUGAAAUUAUAACUUUUAUUUUACAGCAACUGCAUCUUAAAAAUUAUAGUACCUCACUUUCAAACGCACCCAUACACACCCAAACCAAUGGUGCAGAUAAAAGUGGUGGUGUAGAAAUUAUCACAGAAACCCGAAUCCGAAAGAAAGGCAACCCGCCCAUGCAAACAAUAUUUGUUGAACAAUUCAACAGCUACAACCUAAAGCUAGUUAAGAGAAGUAGCAUUGACUAAUUAAUGCACCAUAAUUAUUAAUACACUUGACGUGUGAGACAAAAGCAAAAAUUAUGUUAAUUAUUGAUUAUGCCCUCUGCCUUCGAUCUAGUCUUACGUACUUAUUAAUGGAUAACAUUUAAAGUUUGAAUUAGGCAAUAAUAAUUAAAGAAAACGUAACCCUUUGUAGACUCUUCUCUACAACAGUAAGAUCGAAUGAGUUUUGGACCAAAUGAAUGAAAUAAAGAUAGAUCUGCAGAUAGAUACAGUGGCCUGUGCCCGCUUCGCAAUGAAAAAUCCCAAUGCAAGGUGAGUUUUUUUUUUCCUGGGUCUUAUUAAUUUACGUACUGCACUUGAUAAUUUAUGAUCUCUUCGCUACUCGUCGGUCGCCCUCAUUCAUUCUACUCCAUAAAAUACGGACAUAUUACUAAUCAUAAUGCCCCACAUGACAUGUUUAUUGGUCUACAAACUCACAUUUUUUCUUUAAAAUAAUGGUUAAUUACCAGCGUGUCAACUGUCAAGUACUCUCAAAUGCAAGUUGCCCGCUGAAUGUUUAAGCCACUAUAUUAAGAAAUAAAGUACAUAUUUGUCAAUAAAUCAUGGGGAGAAGAGUUGUAAAAUGUUUGCUCCAAUUCACAAUUAGAUCCCUAAUGUUUUAAAACCUUCAUCACUUUGGAAAUGACCAUUUUGAAUUGACCUCCUUUUAUUAGUAAAUUAAUUUCGUGUAUUUGAAUGGAAUUAUAACGACAUUUUUUUUUGUAUAUUAAAUCAUUUAGUAUUCGAAAAUUAUAUUGGGCUUCGACUAAUUCAUAUUCGAAUCGGGUAGGACCACUAGGGAAGUAAAACUCUCCCAACAAGUAUUUAACGCAGCUGUAUUCCCAAGUUUCAAACUGAGGACCUUGGUUAAGCUAGAACAAUCCCUUGCCAACUGAUCUACGCGCUUAUUGAUGAAUUAUAACAACAUUAAUACGAUGCAGUGCUCGCCAAAAUUAAAAUAUUAUAAUUUCCUUAUUUCAACUCAAAUAUAUACACGAAAUUCAAUAACAAAGAUACCUAGAUGUUCCUCUUUUGAAAUAGUAGAAAAACUCUCAAUUUUUCAAACAGAAAUAAAGUAUAACUGUCCAUUAUACCAGACAAACAUUAGUAGUUUGGGUCAUUGGGUGUAUGGGGAAGGCUAUACAGGUCCAAAAUACAAUGACAAGGCAAAAAAAAUUAAAAAAUUGAAAAAAAAAAAUACGGGAGCAACAGGCCAAUAGACUAAAAAGUGCAACUAGCUUGGAAUUCCUACUUUACAUGCAUUCUUUCACCAUUAUAAUCAUAAAAAUAACAAAAAGUUGAUUGAAAAAAUAAUGGCAUGGGCCAGCAACUUAAUGCUUCAAGCAUAUGCCAGGAAGAUCCUCUCCCCAUAAACCUAAUUAACCCAGUUAGCUUUUCCUUGUUUUCCCUUUAAAGCUGAGAAACCUCUCUUUCACUCUUCUCUUUGAUAAAUCUAGGCGCUGGCCAGCAGCGAUUCAAUGUGAUGUUUCUAAUGGCAUCAACGAGUACUACUCACGCCGGAGGCGAUAUAAAUGGUGAUGAGGGGAGUGAUCAGGAUGAUGAUCGUGUCCUAAUUCCUGACAGUUGAAGUUUUGUCGUGUCUUUGAUCAGAUGGGCAACUUUGGAACCUUUGGCAGUACUUCUCGGAUGAGAUGCUUUACGGCUCAGGCAUGCAUAUCCACACCAGUUGAGCUGUUUUUGUAGGAUCUGAAAGGUUUGUAAAAAUUAAAAUUAAUAAAAAAAAAUUACUUUUUCACUAUGUAAUACGUAUCGAGCUUGGAUGAAAUGUUAUUGAUGCUCAAGCGAGCUAUUGAUUUCAAAGUUUUUUCGUUGUUUUACUUUGUAUGUUAUUGUGAUUUAAAUGUGUUUCGUUGCUUUCUAUCCUGUACGUGCUAUUCACUUAUUUGCCAUGAAACUAGCCUUAAAAAAAUAUGAUCCAUGGUACGUUGAGUUCAAUAUAAUUUCGUUUCUUCGCUAAUGUAAGUGGCAGCUUUCUGUGCAAUCUGGAAAUGCAAGUUGCAGCUGAGUUCUGUUAUGAAGGCUGACAGUUGCUGUAAGAUUUCUGUGCAAUCUGGAAAUUAAAGAAAUAAGCCUUUAUAACAGAAUUCAGCUUAAGCAAAGGUUGCUAGCCUUAAAAAACUGCAUUGUUUUCAUUUCUUUUAUUGAACUAGUGACUACCAAAUUAAAGAAAUAAGCUCAGUAUGAUUUAUGUUGAUGUCUUUGCUUAUUGUACAUUAACC
Molecule: long non-coding RNA, 47025 nt
Filed under: Citrus maxima (pomelo)
Lineage: Eukaryota; Viridiplantae; Streptophyta; Magnoliopsida; Sapindales; Rutaceae
Description: long non-coding RNA (CMAX_LNC003534)
Source: RNAcentral